Molecule: long non-coding RNA, 71658 nt
Filed under: Triticum aestivum (bread wheat)
Lineage: Eukaryota; Viridiplantae; Streptophyta; Magnoliopsida; Poales; Poaceae
Description: long non-coding RNA (TAES_LNC001946)
Source: RNAcentral
AAUAAGCUUCUCAAACUUCACUUCCACGUAUCACCGUGGAGAACUCAAACCGAUGCACCAAAUGCAAUGGCAAGGGCACACGUAGUGCCCAAGUCCUUCUCUCUCAAAUCCCACCGAAGCAACUAAUGCUAGGGAGGAAAAUGAGAGGAAGAACCAGAAGGAGAACACCAAGAACUCCAAGAUCUAGAUCCAAGGGGUUCCCCUCACACAGAGGAGAAAGUGAUUGGUGGAAAUGUGGAUCUAGAUCUCCUCUCUCUUUUCCAUCAAAAACUAGCAAGAAACCAUGGAGGGAUUGAGAGUUAGCAAGCUCGAAGAAGGUCAACAAUGGGGGAAGAACACGAGCUUAAAGGAUAAGGUUCAUUGGGGAAGAAGACCCCCUUUUAUAGGAGGGGGGAAAUCCAACCGUUAUGUGCUCAGCCCGCACACGAGCGGUACUACCGCUCCACGAGCGGUACUACCGCUCAGGCGGAAGAAACAAGGAAAAGGAGCAACAAAACAUGAACCUUGGGGCGGUAGUACCGCAUAUAAGCGGUACUACCGCUCACCCCAGCGGUACUACCGCUGGAGGAGUAGAACACGGGACCAAAAGAGGCAGGCAGAGCAGAGUAUGGCGGCAGUGAAGCAGAAAUGGUACUACCGCUCGACCGGAGCGGUACUACCGCUUAGGCAGUACUACCGUGCCUUACUGCCGUGCAACUACUGCUAAACCCGACACGAAAAGAGCAGGACCCAAAAACGAGGCGGUAUAAGAGCGGCACUGCAGCGGUACUACGGCUGAGAGCUCCAAGCGGUACUACCGCUUGGGCUCGCGGUACUACCACUGGGACCAGACAAAAACCACACUCAAGAAAACAAGAACUGCCAUAACUUUUGCAUAUGAGCUCUGAAUUGAGCAAACUCAAGCUUAUAGUAAGAAGAGGCAGGGAAGGUAUGCCUAACAAAUGGAGGAGUGAGACCCCCAACAGAGAAGAACGAGCAUAACCUCCAACAUCGAAAAAAACAUAGAAGAUGCAUGUGACCUCCGUUUUUGAUGAACUCGAGCUUGUCAUCAAGAUGACCAUAAGCUCUAAGACUCACAAAGAGAACCAAACAAGAACAAAGAAAGAUGAUGCAAGGAUGCAAUGGUUUGAGCUCUCAAUGAACGAUACGAUCAAGCUACUCAUCGAGAGCCCCCCCUUGAUAGUACGGCAAUCGAUCCUAUAACCCGGUGUCGGUGUCAAAACCGGCAGAUCUCGGGUAGGGGGUCCCGAACUGUGCGUCUAAGGCAGAUGGUAACAGGAGGCAGGGGACACGAUGUUUUACCCAGGUUCGGGCCCUCGUGAUGGAGGUAAAACCCUACGUCCUGCUUGAUUUAUUCUUGAUGAUAUGAGUAUUACAAGAGUUGAUCUACCAUGAGAUCGGAGAGGCUAAACCCUAGAAGCUAGCCUAUGGUAUGAUUGUAUGUUGUCCUACGGACUAAAACCCUCUGGUUUAUAUAGACACCGUAGGGGUCUAGGGUUACACAAGGUCGGUUACAAAGGAGGAGAUAUCUAUUCCGUACUGCCUAGCUUGCCUUCCACGCCAAGUAGAAUCCUAUUUGGACACGGGACGAAGUCUUCAAUCUUGUAUCUUCAUAGUCCAACGGUCCGGCCAAAGGAUAUAAUCCGGCUGUCCAGAGACCCCCUAAUCCAGGACUCCCUCAGUAGCCCCUGAACCAGGCUUCAAUGACGAUGAGUCCGGCGCAGUGUUGUCUUCGGCAUUGCAAGGCGGGUUCCUCCUCCGGAUACACCACAGAAGAGUUCGAAUAAAAGGAUAGUGUCCGACCCUGCAAAAUAAGUUCCACAUACCACCGUAGAGAGAAUAAUAUUUCCACAAAUCUAAUCUGUUGACACGUUUUGGCAACAUGACAUCAUGCCAUGGCUCGGUGAUUAUUCGAACUGUUUUUCUUUAACUAGCCCCGCACAUAACGCGAGGCAGUUUCUUGACACGUCUUGUCAAAGCAGAGAUCGUGUCCCCCUUAUUACGGGAUUCUCAUCAAUACGGGCGUGGGUAACCCAACCAUGCCAUCAAUUACGGUGCUUGAGGGAUAAGCGAGUUUUACCAGGCUAGUGGGGGCACACAGUUUCGGCCGCCCUUAUAAAGGGAUAAGGUUUAUCCUUUUUCUACCCACGCCUUCUUCCUCCUUGCUCAUCCAUUCUCGCGCACUCGAGCUCCAACGCCCAAGUCCACAUCCUUCUCCUCAACCUUCUCCAAACAUGUCCAGAGCGGGAGGCAAGUGGAUGGCUUCCUCCGUCACGAAGGGACACAUCAAAAAGCUACACAGAGCCGGAUACUUAUCCGUGAAUAUCGCGCAUCGGCUGCCCGCUGCGGGGCAGAUCGUCCCUACCCCGGAACCUCACGAGAGGGUAGUCUUCCUCCACCACUUCCUCCGUGGACUGGGGUUUCCCCUCCAUCCAUUCGUCCAUGGUCUUAUGUUCUACUACGGGCUGGACUUUCAUGAUCUAGCCCCGAACUUCAUCCUCAACAUUUUGGCGUUCAUCGUCAUGUGUGAGGCUUUCCUCCGCAUCCGGCCCCACUCCGGCCUGUGGCUGAAGACCUUCAAUAUCAAGACGAAGGUGGUGGGAGGCCAACAAGCAGAAUGCGGCGGAGCCAUGGUGGGCAAGAUGCCCAAUGUUAUAUGGCUUGAAGGCUCCUUCGUGGAGACAAUAAAGGGGUGGCAAUCGGCGUGGUUCUACAUCACCGAGCCGCGCGACACCAACUGGGUGGCGGCCCCCAAGUUUCGAUCCGGAAUCCUCACGUGUCUCACCUCCUGGAAAGAGAAGGGCCUAUCCUGGGGUUCAUCGGUGGAGCUGGACAGACUCCAUAAAUGUAUCCGGAAUAUGGCAAGCAAUAAGCUCAAGCUUGUCAACAUAGUCCAGGUCAUGCUCUUCCGCCGGAUCCUCCCGUGUCAACAACGGGAUUUCAACUUGUGGGAGUUUGACCCAGCCCAGGAUCAGACUCUGAGCAAGCUCUUCGACACGACGCACAAGGAUGUCUGGAGGGUGCUGUUCAAGGGUGCCGAGGUCCCUCCCUCUCUCACCGAGGACCACGGGCUAAGCGCGGAAUGUCCUGCGAAUUCGGUAAGUUUUGUACAUCUGGUAGGAUUUUUACUUCCCAUAGCUUAACCACGUACGGGGUCUGAGCUCCCAUGCCUUUGACAGGACUGGGUGGGGGCAUCGGAGAAGAUCAACUGUCCGGCCCCUCUACCCGAAGACACUGCGGACGCUCUCCUGACGGAGAAGCUGACUUCGGCUCCUUACAAGGUGCCGGAGAAGACCAAGAAGAAGGCCAAGGGAAACCGAAAGAGUUUUCGACGCCAGGUGGUAUCGGACUCCUCGUCCGAUGAAUCUGUGACGCACUCCUCCCACGAAGACGAGGAGGAAGAUGAAGAUGCUCCCCCUCCAGCCGGGGGAGACAAGAAAAGGAAGGCCGCCCCAACCGGGGGGGCGAAGGGUCCAAGAAGGGAAGGACUCUCCUUCCAGACUGCUCCACCACCGCCGCCGAAGAUGAAGACGAGUGGCUGCUCAGGGCCAAGCCCCUGGCAAAGUCGUAAGUAUUCGGAUACCAGAGUAACUCAUAGCAUACCUUUGUCGCACUGCUUCUCCUAACACCGAGUAUGAUUAUGCAGACCGCCCCAAGCCCGUAUCGACGUAUCUUCAUCGGGCGGCUCCUUGGACUCGUCGGAUAUGGAUAGCGAUCCACUUCCGACCGCCACCUCCCCUUGCCCUACGGACAAUGCCGAGGUGCUGUCUCAAGAGGCACCGGGUCGAGGGGAGACAGUCCCGGAGGCACCUCAAGGUGACCUUUCGGACUCCGGGAGCAGAGGGGGUAAGGCUCCCGAUGGCUCCGAGUUCGGCCUUCAGCCGAACACUGCGCCGGAACCUCCAGUGGUUCCGGACUCGGGCAGGCGUCCUCCUUCCAAAAGGGGUAAGACGCCCGUGUCGGUGACCUCUGUCCAUCCAGAGGCACCGGACAGUCUGCUGGGAGCGCUUCGCAGCGCUUCCAUCGACGAAGAGCACCACACUAUUAUGAGUGCGGUGAUCCAGAAGGUUCAGUCCGCCAAGAGCGGACUGACUGAAGCCUGUGCCAGCCUUCUAACAGGCUUUGAGGUAAGUAUUUGAAAUAUAGGAAAAAUAUUACCGCAUAGACAGUAGCCCCUGAUGCUCUAUUUGGUGUUCAAAAAGAAAAGCCAAGUAGAGGAUCAACUAAUAUCUGCAGGAGUCUAAUAUAAGUAUGUCUAUAUGCGUAUGCAGGCUUCGCUGCUGGCCUCUGCCGCACUGACUGCGGAGGUCGCCGCACUGAAGCAAGACCUUGAGGGGUUCGAGAAAGAGCUCGGCUUUGCCAAGAGGCAACUCGAGGAGAACAAAGGUAAGUAAUACCUUGUCUGUAUAUAUAAAAGAAAAUGUGGUUGCGAAAUGACAGGAUCAUCAUGAAUGUGCCAGGGGCCACGACCGAGGUGGCGACCCUAAAGCAAGCGAUGUCCGAGGUCGAAGACAAAGCGGCCAAGGAGCACACCGAGCAGGAAAGGCAAGAGGCACGGGUGGGCGAGGUGCAGCAAGAGCUCCAGGCUCUCGUGAUGAAGCACGAGGCUUUGGAGCUUGACUCGAAGAUGCGAGAGUCUCAGCUCGCCGCGGUCCUCGAUAGCGCAAAGAAUGCCAAGGCUGAAGCCCAAAAGGCCCUCCAAGAGAUUGAGGCGGUAAGGAAGAUAGCGGCGGGUAAGGCAUUCAAUAUGCAAAGCAAGCAUGUGAAAGUAAAUUACUUAUUACUUACCCGAGUCCGGAGCUCUCCAGGAGCAUUCGCAGAUUUGCCCCGCAGCGUGUCGGAUGCCGCACAGUUUUACCAGGCCGAGGAGGGAAGCUCAACAGAGAAGUUGUUCUGGUCUCAGUAUACUGGGACCGAACACCCAAUGCCUCUGAGCGACCAGCUGAAGCAACUGGUCGAGCUGCACAAGGCGGCCGAACAGGCCAUGAAGGGCUUUAUAGUCCGGAUGUGGCCUGGCGACGCCCUUCCCAAUAGCUACUUCGGCCUGGUGAGGCGGCUUGUGGAUGCCUUCCCACGGCUAGAAGUCAUCAAGCGAUUCAUCUGCAUCGAAGGUGCACGCCGGGCUUUUGCCCGUGCGAAGGUGCACUGGGACAAACUGGACGCCGUGUAGCUGGUGAAGGAAGGGCCGCCGCAGGGCAAGGAGCAUCGCCACCCCGAGAUGUACUAUGAGGGUGUCCUGAAGGGUGCCCGUCUUGUAGCGGAUGAGUGUGCGAAAGAUGUAAUAUUUGAAUAAACUUGCUCGUGUAGUCCUGUAUUAUGAAAACUUGUUCAUAUGCGCUAUGCAAUGCUUGUUUGAAUUUAAAAUAUUGCCUUCUGUUCGGCUAUUUAUCAAAUCUGAGAGAUGGCUAGUCGUCGGCUUCUGCCCCCACGCCACGAGUGCUGGGGUGUUCGGGAUAAACCUGAGCACUCUUGUUCCCAUUUUUGGGUCCUUCGAGGGAGGUGCUCAGCACAACGAACAAGGCAAUCGGACUAUAAUGCGUUAUCACUCUCACUUAGCCAUAGAAUUCUAUAAUUUUAAAUUACGGUGAAGCCCCUAGUGUUUGGAAGGACGAAUUCGGGGCGCUAUACACGCCUUAAGCUGGACAGGGCCGACUCCUCGCUCUAAGCGGCAUAAGUCUUUAGGGACUUGAAACCUCUCGAACAGCGACCAGUCUCUCGCCUUAUCAUGACAGUCAGUUUUAGCUUUCUCUACUAAGGUGCUUAGCCUAGCAGAACCGGGGCACAAUCGUAGUAGUUCUCCCAGUGCUACCUUAGCCGAUAUAGCAGAACGUAAGGUACCAAAACAUGGGAGCCGGGCAAACCCAACUAUUGACCCAAGACAUGAUUCGGAGCUGAUGCAUAUAAUGCUAUAAGUUCGGGGUGCCGCACUGUCGAAAGUGUUCGGACUUCUCAUGCCGUAUUAUGGGGUAUGCUUAAGACCCUGGCGUAUUGGCCGUACUAGAGUGUACGGGUGCUAGAUGUCAUGAAUGAACAUAUAUAUAUUCAAAGGAAGAAUGCAAUAAUAGUCUUGAUGCUAUGCAUUGUUUAUUCAAAAAGGUGCAUUAAAGCAGAAUGAUACAAGUAGUGCGAUAAGCACAAAGUAGGACUAUUUGACAUGUCCCUUCCAACGGCAAGCUGAGGAAUAGUAUUAAAGCAAGUAUUUUACUUGUUAUCGUAAUCCACCUGGGAGUUUCGUGGUGUGACGUAGCUUUCUGCCUCCUUGGUUGCUGCAUCAUGUGUUCGGCAAUCAUGUUGCCGGACAGGGUUUCCAGAGAUUAACGUCCUGAAAGAGAAAAAUAACAAAGCGGGAAGCCCCUAGUGUGGUUUAAGCCGCAUCUUGGAGCGUGUCGUAGUCGUGCCCCCCUUCCCACCUGUGCCCAUGGUAUUUUUAGUGCGUAAUUAUGUACGCGUGGCACGGACUUCACCGUUUGGCUGGGACCGGGGUGGGGGCCGUAUUGCUAUGCGAGCUCGGAACGUGUUAGGCGGUCCUGUUGCCGAUUACUCCGGGCGCGCUUGAAGGUGUCCGGGUCCUUAAUCGCUAAACUAGUGGAUUGCCUUAAGAGGCUGCUUUGUGCUUCUGCUGCGAGGGUCGCAGUGUGCUCCUCCGUGCAGAGAGAGCGCUCUAUGUUUCCAUUGACUGUGAUGACCCCCCGAGGUCCUGGCAUCUUGAGCUUGAGAUAUGCAUAAUGCGGUACCGCAUUGAAUCUCGCAAAUGCGGUUCACCCGAGCAGUGCAUGGUAGCCACUGCGGAACGGGACUAUGUCGAAGAUUAACUCUUCACUUCAGAAGUUAUCCGGAGAUCCGAAGACCACUUCCAGUGUGAUUGAGCCUGUGUAAUGGGCCUCUACACCUGGUAUGAUGCCUUUAAAGGUCGUAUUUGUGGGUUUGAUCCUUGAGGGGUCUAUACCCAUUUUGUGCACUGUGUCCUGAUAAAGCAGGUUCAGGCUGCUGCCGCCAUCCAUAAGGACUCAAGUGAGGUGAAAUCCGUCAAUGAUUGGGUCUAGGACCAAUGCGGCAAAUCCGCCAUGACGGAUACUAGUAGGGUGGUCCCUGCGGUCGAAGGUGAUCGGAUAGGAGGACCAUGGGUUGAACUUUGGGGCGACUGGCUCCAACACAUAUACGUCCCUGAGCGCACGCUUCCGCUCCCUCUUGGGGAUGUGGGUUGCGUAUAUCAUGUUCACCGUCCGCACUUGUGGGGGGAACCUCUUCUGUCCUCCGGUGUUCGGCUGUCGGGGCUCCUCCUCGUCAUUGCUAUGUGAUCCCUUAUCUUUGUUUUCGGCAUUUAACUUGCCGACCUGCUUGAACACCCAACAAUCCAUGUUGGUCUGGUUGGCUGGCUUGUCGGGGGUGCCGUGUAUUUGACACAAGCGGUCGAGUAUACGGUCCAAACUAGACGGGCCCGGAGUGCUUCUUUUGAAUGCCUUUUUCCGCUGACCAGGUUUAGAGCCUUUGAAUCCAGCAUUGACUGUCGUAUCCUCGUUAUUGUCACUGUUAAUGUGGUGCUUAUGUUUGUUGAGACGUGACAUGCCGUUGCUGUCCUUGGUAUCCAAAGUACCAUGGUUCUUUGAUAUGUUAUUUCUGCGAGCCAACCAGCUGUCCUCUCCCGCACAAAAGCGGGUCAUGAGUGUCAUGAGGGCUGCGAUAGAUUUCGGCUUUUCCUGGCCAAGGUGUCGGGCCAGCCAUUCGUCGCAGAUGUUGUGCUUGAAAGCUGUUAGGGCCUCUGCAUUCGGACAAUCGACGAUUUGAUUUUUCUUUGUUAGGAACCUUGUCCAGAAUUGCCUGGCCGAUUCCUCUAGCUGCUGAAUUAUGUGGCUCAAGUCAUCGGCAUCUGGUGGUCGCACAUAAGUGCCCUGAAAGUUGUCGAGGAAUGCGGCUUCCAGAUCUUCCCAACAGCCAAUGGACUCUGCUGGCAAGCUAUUGAGCCAAUGCCGAGCUGGUCCUUUGAGUUUGAGUGGGAGGUAUUUGAUGGCGUGUAGGUCAUCACCGCGGGCCAUGUGGAUGUGCAGGAGGAAAUCCUCGAUCCAUACCAUAGGAUCUGUUGUGCCGUCAUAUGAUUCUAUAUUUACGGGUUUGAAACCCUUUGGGAUUUGAUGAUCCAUUACUUCGUCUGUGAAGCAUAAGGGGUGUGCAGCCCCUCUAUACUGGGCUAUACCGCGACGCAGCUCAAAUGAGUCUUGCCCGCUGUGUUCGGCCCGGACGGACUUACUUUUACUGUAUCCGGCGUGACGAUUAUCGUCUCGCAUAGUGGCAGGCCCUCGUGAUCCGUAGAUUGAUCUUGCGUGUUUUGCUUUGUCCUCCAAUAUGUCUCGCAGGUCUGGCGUAUUUCCCCAUGCCUUUUUAUUUGAAUGGCGUUGGGGUGCGGGCUGAGCUUUUGGCUGGAAUGCCUCUCUGUCGCGGUCACGAGGUGGCCGAUCAGCCGCGUCGUACGCCGGGGAUGUAGGUUUCGGUGCUUCCUCCUCCAGUCGGGGUAGCAACAUGCACUUUGGGUAACUCUUGGAGGGGCGCUCGAGUUUAUAUUCCUCAGCCGCCAGGACUUCAGUCCAUCUGUCAGUUAGCAAAUCUUGAUCAGCUUAAAGCUACUGCUGCUUUUUCUUAAGGCUAUUUGCCGUGGCUAUAAGCCGGCGCUUGAAGCGCUCUUGUUCGACGGGAUCCUCUGGCACGACGAAUUCGUCAUCGUCGAGGCUUGCCUCGUCUUUGGAGGGAGGCAUGUAAUUAUCAUCCUCCGCCUCUCCAUCUGCCGCUCUCUCAGGAGGGCUGGCUUCUCCAUCCUCCUGCUCUAAAUCUUGCUAGAGGGGAUCGUUGUUGUCUUUGGCACUAUCAAGAGUGCUAUUAUCUCCGGUCCCGGUAUCACCGCUUUUAACUUGGCGGGACUUAGAGCGGCGCCGCUGACGCCGGCGCUUGGGUUGCUUCUUGGAGGGGUCAUCCUCCACUGUCCCGUCGCUAUUGCCUUCUUUGGGUGUGUCCACCAUGUAUAUGUCAUAUGAUGAGGUGGCUGUCCAGUGCCCUGUGGGUAGUGGUUCUUCUUCGCCUCCCGCAUCGUCGUCCAUACCAUCGAUGUCUUCGGAGUCGAAGUCGAGCAUGUCGGUUAAGUCAUCGACAGUGGCUACUAAGUGGGUGGUGGGUGGGCGGCGAAUUUCUUCGUCAUCUGCAUCCCAAUCCUGCCGAACAUAGUUCAGCCAGGACCCUCCUGACAAGGAGAGAGAGCUUAGUGAGUUCAUUAUGUCGCCGAAGGGCGAGUGCUGAAAAAUAUCCGCGGAGGUAAACUCCAUGAUCGGCGCCCAAUCGGAUUCGACAGGAACGGGCGCAGGCAGUUCGGAGUCCAUGGCCGGAGAAGGAUCCGACAGUUUGGCAACAUGGCUCUCGUGAAGGGUAAGGUCGAUAUUCGGCUCGAUCGUCGUUGAGGAUACGGCCUCCGUGGCGGGGUCUAUCCACCCGUCCAUGGAUAGUGCAACUGGCUCCGAAUUAAGGGUCAGAGCGGCUGCCAGUGCGAUUUCUUGAACACUGUCCGAUGGUAGAGCUAAGUCGUACUCAUCAUGACCGUGUGGCGCACAAGGCAGGGGUUCGAAUCCGUCGAAGAUCAAGUCUCCGCGGAUAUCGGCCGUGUAGUUUAACCUUCCAAACCUGACCUGGUGGCCAGGGGCGUAACUUUCGAUCUGCUCCAGAUGGCCAAGCGAGUUGGCCCGCAGUGCGAAGCCGCCGAACACAAAGAUCUGUCUGGGGAGAAAAGUCUCACCCUGGACUGCAUCGCUAUCGAUGAUCGUAGGAGCCAUCAAGCCUAAGAGUGACGACACAGAGGAACUCUCAAUGAAAGCACCAAUGUCGGUGUCAAAACCGGCGGAUCUCGGGUAGGGGGUCCCGAACUGUGCGUCUAAGGCGGAUGGUAACAGGAGGCAGGGGACACGAUGUUUUACCCUGGUUCGGGCCCUCUUGAUGGAGGUAAAACCCUACGUCCUGCUUGAUUUAUUCUUGAUGAUAUGAGUAUUACAAGAGUUGAUCUACGACGAGACCGGAGAGGCUAAACCCUAGAAGCUAGCCUAUGGUAUGAUUGUAUGUUGUCCUAUGGACUAAAACCCUCCGGUUUAUAUAGACACCGGAGGGGUCUAGGGUUAAACAAGGUCGGUUACAAAGGAGGAGAUAUCCAUAUCCGUACUGCCUAGCUUGCCUUCCACGCCAAGUAGAGUCCUAUCCGGACACGGGACGAAGUCUUCAAUCUUGUAUCUUCAUAGUCCAACAGUCCGGCCAAAGGAUAUAGUCCGGCUGUCCGAAGAGCCCCUAAUCCAGGACUCCCUCACCCGGUCUCCCAACUACCAUCAUGAGACCCAUAAAAUAGAAAACCUAUCAAGGGCAAACAUUUGCCUUGCACAUGGUCCACUUGAGCUAGAUGAUGACGAUCUUGACUCCCUCAAGUUGGACCACCUUUCUUGAUUGUGUUGACUCGAUGAAGACUAGUUGAUUGCUCCCCCAUACUCCACUAUGGGUGAGCCACUCUUCCGCACAUCUUCACAAGUCCAUUGUCACCACAAAGGAUGGCAAGCUUCAAGCAUUUGAUCUCUUCGUGAUGCUCCACUUGAACUUGCACACCGCAACCUUUCUUGAGUGUUAACUCGAUGAAGACUAGUUGAUUGCUCCCCCAUACUCCACUAUGGGUGAGCCACUCUUCCGCACAUCUUCACAAGUCCAUUGUCACCACAAAGGACGACAAGCUUCAAGCAUUUGAUCUCUUCGUGAUGGUCCACUUGAACUUGCACACCGCAACCUAACCCCACAAAGAACCCUCACGAAGACCAUGGGUUAGUACACAAAGCGUAAUUGAUAAUGCUUACCAUACCAUGGGAUCACUUGAUCCCUCUCGGUACAUCUUCUACACUUUGUGGGUUAAUCAACUUGAUUCACUCUUUGACUUAGUCUUGAUCAACCUCACACAAGACCAAUCUUUAGGUAAUUCCUUGAAUAGCACCUUGGUCGACACAAACUCUCCUUGAAACCAACACAUGUACUCCAAGAAAAGCCUAUGGACAAAACCUUCAAAUAUAACUCAAGGCAACCAUUAGUCCAUAGAGAUUGUCAUCAAUUACCAAAACCAAACAUGGGGGCACCGCAUGUUCUUUCAGCCAGCCCCCAGACCAGCCAGCAUUUUAGAGCCGUUGAAGUGCAUGAUCCAAUUGGAGUAUGUGACGUAUUCUUUAGGGAGUUCGGCUUUCGUCCAUUCGGUGACGAAAUAGACCAAUACUUGCGACUUAAUGGCUCGCCGUGGUUUGUAUGUUAUGUCGAACGGGAGGAGCUCGAUGGCCCAUUUGGCAAUCCGGCCCGUGGCAUCGUGGUUGUUUAUUAUGUCAUUGAGUGGUACUUCAUAGGCCACCGUGAUUGAACACUCUUGAAAGUAGUGUCAUAAUUUCCGGGAUGCCAUGAAUACCGCGUAUGCUAUCUUUUGAUAAUGUGGGUACCGUGAUUUGCAUGGAGUGAGGAUGGUGGAUACAUAAUAUACCGGUUUUUGAAGCGGGAAUUUAUGUCCGUCCAUCUCUCAUUCCACGACGAGCACUGCGCUUACAACUUGGUGAGUUGCUGCUAUAUAUAAUAGCAUUGGUUCGCCAACAGUUGGCGCGGCCAAGAUUGGGUUGGUGGCCAGGAUGCCUUUUAUCUCUUCCAAUCCGGCCGUGGUUGCGUCCGUCCACUCGAAGUGUUCGGUACGCCGAAGAAGGUGAUAGAGGGGAAGUUCCUUUUCUCCUAAUCGGGAGAUAAAGCGGCUUAAAGCCGCCACACAUCCAGUUAAUUUUUGGAUUUGUUUGAGGUCAGUUGGGAUAGCCGACUGAGACAGGGCUCGGAUUUUAGCUGGAUUUGCUUCAAUUCCUCUACUGGAGACGAUGAAGCCCGGGAGCUUUCCGGCGGGAACACCAAAAAUGCAUUUUUCCGGAUUGAGCUUAAUGUCGUAUGUUCGGAGAUUGGUGAACGUGAGCCUCAAGUCGUCUAUUACAGAGUUGACGUGUCUGGUUUUGAUGACCACAUCGUCUACAUAUGCCUCCACAGUCUUACCGAUCUACUUUUCCAGACACGUCUGGAUCAUGCGCUGAUAUGUUGCGCCGGUGUUUUUGAGCCCGAAGGGCAUUGUGUUAAAAUAGAAGGGGUCAUAUGGCGUGAUAAAUGUCGUUGCGGCUUGAUCAGACUCCGCCAUCUUAAUUUGGUGGUAGCCGGAGUAUGCGUCGAGGAAGCACAAUGAUUCGUGUCAUGCGGUAGCGUUGAUGAUUUGAUCGAUGCGAGGGAGUGGAAAGGGAUCCUUUGGGCAAGCCUUAUUAAGGUCUUUGAAGUCGACCCAUAGGCACCAGGAUUUGUCCUUCUUUGGUACCAUCACCAGGUUUGCUAGCCAGUCCGGAUGUUUUAUUUCUCUAAUGAAUCCGGCCACCAGUAGCUUGGCUAGCUCUUCUCCCAUGGCUUGUCGCUUAGGUUCAGAGAAACGCCGAAGAGUCUGCUUGACCGGCUUGAAUCCUUUUAGCACAUUAAGGCUAUGCUCGGCCAAUCUGCAUGGGAUUCCUAGCAUGUUUGAAGGAUGUCAGGCGAAUAUGUCCCCAUUCUCGCGCAGAAACUCCCGUAGUGCGGCGUCUACAGCGGGGUUUAACUGUGCCCCGAUGGAUGCUGUUUUUGUGGGGUCCGUUGGAUGGACAUGGAAUUUGACUAUUUCAUCUGCUGGUUUAAAGGAGGUGGACUUGGAUCUUUUGUCUAGUAUCACGUCGUCCCUGUCCACCAUGGAGCGUAGCGCGGUUAACUCCUCCGCCACAAGGGCUUCGGAUAAUGCCUCGAGGGCUAGUGCGGCUGUUUUGUUCUCGGCGCGGAGUGUUAUGUCCGGAUCACUAGCUAGAGUGAUGAUUCCAUUGGGUCCGGGCAUUUUGAGCUUCAUGUACCCGUAAUGGGGUAUGGCUUGAAAAAUCGUGAAUGCCUCCCGCCCUAGAAGGGUGUGGUAUCCGCUACUGAACGGGGCCGCUUGGAAUGUAAUUUCUUCGGACCUGUAAUUCUCCGGAGUGCCGAAUACCACAUCAAGCAUGAUUUUCCCAGCGCAACGUACCUCCUGACUAGGGAUGAUUCCUCGGAAGGUCGUACUGCUUUGCUCAAUACGGUUGCUGUCUAUUUCCAUUUUUUGGAGAGUUUCCUCAUAAAUGAGGUUUAGUCCGCUGCCGCCGUCCAUGAGCACCUUAGUGAGCCGAAAGCCGUCCACAAUUGGACUGAGGACCAAAGCGGCUGGUGCUUGGGCUGUUGGGAAUUUAGGUUCGUCACUGGCAUUGAAGGUGAUAGUCGUGUCGCUCCAUGGAUUUAUUGCUGCCAUGUGGCAGACUUCGGCAAGGCUGCGGAGUGCUUGCUUAGGCCUAUUAUUGGAGGCGAAGGUCUUGAAGACUGUUAAUACUGUAUUGUUAUCCGUGGGAAGGUGCUCUGAGGUAUUUUGGGUGAGGAGAUCCUCACCGCUUUUGGCCACCUGCCGGAGUACCCAACAUGCUCUAAGGCUGUGUGUUGAUAUGGUAUCCGCUGUACUAUGGAUUUUGCAGGGUCCGUUAAGCCAUCCCUCCAAUACGGUUCCACGCCCUGUAGUGGGCUUUUGCUUCUUUGUAAUUGAGUCGGGCGACUUACGAGAGUGCACCCUUUUAGUUCAGACUAGGGGUUUUGUCAGAGCCGGAUUAUCCCAAAAUUGCGUUUGGGUUUUCUAGGCACUUUCCAUCGCACAAUAUUUUCAUACUAUGGCCUCCAAGUCAGCGAAGUGUACUAUCUCACGGCGACUUAUGGCGUUGAGGACUCCCUUGUCCAUCCAAUUGUUGCAAAAGAAUGAAAUUGCGUCUUCCUCGUGAUAGUCCUUGACCUUGUUCAUUACAAGGAGGAAUCUGGCCCAAUAGUGAUGUACUGUCUCUUGGGGCGCUUGCCUAAUGUGGGAAAGAUCGUUUGUAUCUGGGUGGGUGGGUGGAUUUAAGUCCAGACCUUGACCCAAUCUGUGAUCCCGGGGCAGGGGAGUUUCCAAUCUUGGAAGUUCAGGCUCCGGGAUGUUGCCCUGCGGGUUCGGUAUGCGGCCUGAUUCUAGAUUCAGGGUUAGGGCGGGGUCCUCCCGUGAGCGAGUAUCCGGCUCGGGGAGCUCGGGAAUCCAGACAUAGUUCGUCCUCGGGAUAGAGGGAGAAUCGCCGCAUUGCUCCUCCACCACCGCUAUCUGAUGAGUGGCCGGCGGAGAAUUAAUCUCCCUUUGGUCGGGUUUAAGCCCGAUCCGAUCGUAGUCCGUAGUGACUCCCAGAGCGGCGAUGCGAUCUAAGAGCUCGUUCAAAGAGGAGAGCUCCAUUGGAUCCAUCUGCUCGGCAAAUUUUGAGCCGAUGUGGAGGCUAUUUUUGAUGGCCCGAUAAUUCAUCGUCGGCGUCGCGGCUGAGUGGGCGGUCAUGAAGAAGCCGCCUAGUCGGAGAGUUUGGCCUACAGCCAGGGCUCCCCCAGUGGUGAUGUUGUCCUUGACAACGAGGCGAGCCAUCCUCCUUAUGAUGACGACAAAGUGGAACUCUCAAUGAAAGCACCAAUGUCGGUGUCAAAACCGGUGGAUCUCGGGUAGGGUGUCCCGAACUGUGCGUCUAAGGCGGAUGGUAACAGGAGGCAAGGGACACGAUGUUUACCCAGGUUCGGGCCCUCCUGAUGGAGGUAAUACCCUACGUCCUGCUUGAUUGUUCUUGAUGAUAUGAGUAUUACAAGAGUUGAUCUACCACGAGAUCAAGGAGGCUAAACCCUAGAAGCUAGCCUAUGGUAUGAUUGUUUGUUGUCCUAUGGACUAAAACCGUAUGAUUUAUAUAGACACCGGAGGGGGCUAGGGUUACACAAGGUCGGUUACAAAGGAGGAGAUAUACAUAUCCGUAUUGCCUAGCUUGCCUUCCACGCCAAGUAGAGUCCCAUCCGGACAUGAGACGAAGUCUUCAAUCUUGUAUCUUCAUAGUCCAAUAGUCCGGCCAAAGGAUAUAGUCCGGCUGUCCGGAGACCCCCUAAUCCAGGACUCCCUCAGGGCCCCUCAAGAGGUGAGCGCCAGCCGCAGCGCUGGCGCGUGCUUGACGAGCGUGCGCUUUGCGCGGUCUGGCUCGUGAGGAGCUUGCGAGGGAAAGGCGAUGGACAUGAGUCCCAAACCAAAUGAGAUCCAGAAGGCGAGAAAUGGCUCGAACGAGAAAAGGCACCCCCCCCUGCGCGCAUCGAUAAAAAUUCAGCUUCAACUUAAAUCCACAUCUAGAAAGCAAAGCCACAGAAAGAGAGAUCCAAAGCAAAAGGCUGUGUCCGACACCUAGUCUAGUCUUCAGGUCUUCAAGUCUUCUCACCAGCGCAGAGCUAAGUGCUGCCACUAGGCAUGGGAGGGAGCCCCAGGGCCUGAGGCCGGCGCUCCUGAGACUCCGGGGCGUGUACAGCCCCAACUCAUUAUUACGUGAGAGUGUUACGGGCGGUGAGCUUCACAAGCACUGGGCCUUCUUCAUAGGUACUGGCCUUGCUUCAUAUCGCUAGAUGAGGGCCCCACCUUGCGCCACCCUCGACCUCCUUUGAGCCGACUGGUCACCAGGAUGACACAAAAGAGGGAAAGGGGACGCCAGCGGUUCCCUCGGCGACCACGGGUCCUCUACCGGGGGAAGGGUCAUCAAAGCCUCCCCAACAGAGGACCUACCUUCGGGUGUCCCUUGGUUUCGUGCGCCUUGGGGAGGCGCCUGGCUCCCGGCCCCUCUCCUGUAGCCCCCAACGCGAUCCUCCCGCUGCCAGGGGGCCGUCGAGCUGGGGCCGCCUGCCGCUGCGGUGACCUGCUCCUCCUGCGACUCAUGGUUAGCGUAAGCUUGCUCCUGAGGGAUUAGGGGUACCCUAUAGUGGUCGUCGCACACGCGGUAGUGGUGGUUCCCCGGCAGCUCCUGGAAGGCUUUGACUCCUAGCGUCCCUUCUUCCCAAUCUUCUCCAACGAACGAGCCGGGUCGUCCUCCGGCAUGUACUCCUGGUCCGUCAUGCGCGGCACAUAGGCUUCUGGGGCUGUUACCCCAAACACCUCACCGUGGUGCCCCACACUCCAUGUCGCUCGGCACGGCGUGACGUCUUGGGGGUGAUAGAGUGGCAUCCCACUUGGGCCAUGGAAGGCGACGCUUGUGCCCAUGCUUGUUGCAGGCAGUACGGGGGUGGUAGAGCCCCUGGCACCGCCGACCAUGCUGGUGUUGAUGAAGCCCCAUGGCGCGCCUGACGGUGCGUGGUGGUGGCGUGGCCCGCCGAGAAUCCCCGUAGCGGCCUGAGGAGGAAGCUGAUGGCAGAAGGGCGGGGCACCCGAGGCCGCCGCGUCCAGCAACUCGGCGAUGCGUUCCAGCAGUGUGUCUCGGCCACUUUCCAUCAGCAGGCACCGCAGCAGCUCCCUUGCCACGGUGAGUGCUGCCCGCGUGUUUGCUUGUUCCCACCGUGAGUGCGGCGCUGUCGUUGCGGCGUGGCUUGCUACUCUGGCAGCAGCCCACACUUGUCGUGGAGUGAGGGUACAUGAUGCCCCGCCGCGUCACCCGCGCCCCGCCGGAUUGGGCGGUGCUCGUGCUGCCUGGAACGCGGGGUUGAGGUCUUCAUAAGCGGGCGGUGCCGACCGGGCUGGCCAGGCUGCCUAGCGGUCGGAGUCAGCUCGUGGGUCAUCGAACAUCGCGGCCGCGGAGCGUCUGCAAGUCGAUUGUCAGAGAAGAAGCUCCAGCGCACCCCUAACUGGCACGCCAAAUGUCGGAUGUGGGGUUCCGGGAAACCCUUAAGGUUCGAACACUAGGGUGCACACGAAGUCUUUUCCUCCCACCGAUCUACGCCCUAACUCACUAAGAUCUCGCAGACGAACUCGACGCACUCGCAAUACAGAAAGACACAAGAUUUAUACUAGUUCGGGCCACCGUUGUGGUGUAAUACCCUACUCCAGUGUGGUGGUGGAUUGCCUCUUGGGCUGAUGAUGAACAAUACAAGGGGAAGAACAACCUCCUGAGGUUGAGGUGUUCUUGUGCUUGGCUAACUUGUGUGGGUAAGAGUGGACUGAAUCCGUCCUCCUUCUCUCCCCACUCUCUCUAUCUCUCUCUCUCUGUAUCUCUCUCGUCCCCCUUUUUGUCCCCCUCUAUGGUGGUGGCUAACUCUAUUUAUGUAGGCCCUGGUCCUCUUCCCAAAUAUUGAGCGGGAAGGGAGCCAACGAUGGCGGGCAAAUUUGAAGGGGGACAGCUAGUACAAGCCAUCCUGACAAAAGGUGGUCUCCGCCUGCGAAAGGCUCUGGUGGUGACGUCGUAUUGGGCUCCAUGAUGACCCCCGUCUUGUCGUCCUUCUUGUCUUGGUCUUGUUGCACCAAAAUGGCAACCUUUGCUUGAUGCCUCAGUACUCCUCUCCUGCGCUGGUUUCCUUAGCACCAAAGAGUAAACAAUGACACUGCGCGCGCUGGCGCCCGCCUGGUGUCGAUCGUCAUGGCUCACAUCACGAGAGCCUCAUGAGGUUUGCCUCGCCUUGACAUCUCUGCUCCUCGUGAGCCUGCCCGACUAGGCCACUCCAGAGGAGGUCUUGUGUCGUCCACCUCGUGAAGCUUGGCCCCUCGCGAGGGUCUUGGAUGCCUUGUUGAUGAAGAUGGGUUGUACGGCCUGCUGGCUUAGCCACGCCAUGGGCCACAGGCAGGCAAGCCUGGGAACCCCCGUUCCCAGGACGCCGACAGCUUAUGUGUGAUAGAGCGUAUCAUAUCACGGGGUUUGGAUGCACCGGCGAAGUUUGCACCAACUCUCAAGGUGAGAAAGGGCAAUGCACGGUACUGAAGAGGCUAGCAAUGAUGGAAGGUGAGAGUGCGUACAAUCCAUGGACUCAACAUUAGUCAUAAAGAACUCACAUACUUAUUGCAAAAAUCUACAAGUCAUCAAAAACCAAGCAUUACGUGCAUGCUCCUAGGGGGUAGAUUGGUAGGAAAAGACCAUCGCUCGUCCCCGACCGCCACUCAUAAGGAAGACAAUCAAAGAACACCUCAUGUUUCAAAUUUGUUACACAACGGUUACCAUACGUGCAUGCUACGGGACUUGCAAUCUUUAACACAAGUAUUUCUCAAAUUCACAACUACUCAACUAGCACACUCUAAUAUCACCAUCUUUAUAUCUCAAAACAAUUAUCAAGUAUCAAACUUCUCAUAGUAUUCAAUGCACUUUCUAUGAUAGUUUUUAUUAUACCCAUCUUGGAUGCCUAUCAUAUUAGGACUAAUUUCAUAACCAAAGCAAAUUACCAUGCUGUUCUAAAGGACUCUCAAAAUAAUAUAAGUGAAGCAUGAGAGAUCCACAAUUUCUAUAAAAUAAAACCACCACCGUGCUCUAAAAGAUAUAAGUGAAGCACUAGAGCAAAAUUAUCUAGCUCAAAAGAUAUAAGUGAAGCACAUAGAGUAUUCUAAUAAAUUCCAAUUCAUGUGUGUCUCUCCCAAAAGGUGUGUACAGCAAGGAUGACUGUGGUAAACUAAAAAGCAAAGACUCAAAUCAUACAAGACGCUCCAAGCAAAACACAUAUCAUGUGGUGAAUAAAAAUAUAGCCUCAAGUAAAGUUACCGAUGGAAGAAGACGAAAGAGGGGAUGCCUUCUGGGGCAUCACCAAGCUUAGGCUUUUGGUUGCCCUUGAAUUUUACCUUGGGGUGCCUUGGGCAUCCACAAUCUUAGGCUCUUUCCACUCCUUAUUCCAUAAUCCAUCAAAUCUUUACCCAAAACUUGAAAACUUCACAACACAAAACUCAACAGAAAAUCUCAUGAGCUCCGUUAGUAUAAGAAAACAAACCACCACUUAAUGUACUAUAAUGAACUCAUUCUUUAUUUAUAUUGGUGUUAAACCUACUGUAUUCCAACUUCUCUAUGGUUCAUACCCUCCGAUACUAUCCAUAGAGGCAUCAAAAUAAGCAAACAACACACGAAAAACAGAACCUCUCAAAAACAGAACAGUCUAUAGUGAUUUGUAGGUUUCGUAUACUUAUGUAACCCCAAAAAUUCUGAAAUAAAUUGGUGGACGUGAGGAAUUUGUCUAUUAAUCAUAUGCAAAAAGAAUCAACCUAAUUGCACUCUCCAAUAAAAAUGGGAGCAAAUCUCAUGUGCGCUAAAGUUUCUGUUUUUUAUAGCAAGAUCGCUAAAACUUCCCCCAAGUCUUCCCAAAGGUUCUACUUGGCACAAACACUAAUUAAAAGAAUAAAACCACAUCUAAACAGAGUUUAGAUGAAUUAUUUAUUACUAAACAGAACCAAAAGCAAGAAACAAAAAUAAAAUUGGGUUGCCUCCCAACAAGCGCUAUCGUUCAACGCCCUAGCUAGGCAUAAAAGCAAGAAUAGAUCUAGGUAUUGUCAUCUUUGGUUUUAAUUUUUUUAGCGGAGUCAUGCUCGAAUCUGGGAGGUUCUUUAUGUUUCCCUUCAUAUUCAGAAAUUUUUAGAUCUAAGGAAUCCAACCAUUUAUUGCAAAGGGUAAUUAACAUAUUCAUGUGGUGAAGGUUUCCGCUAACACUCUUAAGAGGUUCAAGAGACUUUUGUAAAAAAUUCGUAACUUCGCAAAUCUUUUCAAAAACUUGUGUCUCUUCCUGGGUAUGAUGUGACCCCUUUUGUUGAGGUAGUGCUCCCACUAUUCCCUCUAUGAUUUCAUGAGCAAUACUAGGAUCAAUUUCGAUAAAAUUCCCUUUGGCAACGCAAUCCAAGAGUUGUCUAUGCGACAUAUUUAGCCCAACAUAAAAACUGCGAAGUAAAAUUCUAAAAUUCACGUCUAGGGUGCAAUUACGAUAAUAUUCCAUCAUCCUAAAACAAGCAUCUUUUAAAUUUUAUCCUUGUCUUUGUUUGAAGUGAAGAACUUCAAACUCGCGAGACAAAGGGGGAGAUAAGGGACUAGCCAUGACGACACACGGCGACACAAGAAUCAAGCGAAAAAGAGGCGAACGUAAAAGAGGGUGAAUAAAAUGGCAAGGGUGAAGUGGGGAGAGGAAAAUGAGAGGCAAAUGGAAAAUAAUGUGAUGCGAGGGAUAAGAGUUUGUGAUGGGUACUUGGUAUGUCUUGACUUGUGAGUAGAUCUCCUCGGCAACGGCGCCAGAAAUGGCUUAUUGACGGGAGAUCAAAUCUUGACUUGACUUGGUGCAACCUCCCCGGCAACGGCGCCAGAAAUCCUUCUAGCUACCUCUUGAGCACUGCGUUGGUUUUCCCUUGAAGAGGAAAGGGUGAUGCAGCAAAGUAGCAUAAGUAUUUCCCUCAAUUUUUGAGAACCAAGGUAUCAAUCCAGUAGGAGACUACACGCAAGUCCCUCGUACCUACACAAACAAAUAAGAACCUCGCAACCAACGCGAUAAAGGGGUUGUCAGGCCCUUCACUGUCACUUAUGAGAGUGAGAUCUGAUAGAGAUAAUAAUAAUAAGAUAAAUAUUUUUGGUAUUUUAUGAUAUAGAAUGAAAGUAAAGAUUGCGAAAUAAAAUAGAUUGGAAAGUUAUAUGAUAAAAGAUAGACCCGGGGGCCAUAGGUUUCACUAGUGGCUUCUCUCAAGAUACCAUAAGUAUUACGGUGGGUGAACAAAUUACUGUCGAGCAAUUGAUAGAAAAGUGCAUAAUUAUGAGAAUAUCUAGGCAUGAUCAUGUAUAUAGGCAUCACAUCUGCGACAAGUAGACCGAAACGAUUCUGCAUCUACUACUAUUACUCCACACAUCGACCGCUAUCCAGCAUGCAUCUAGAGUAUUAAGUUCAUAAGAACAGAGUAACGCAUUAGGCAAGAUGACAUGUGAUACGUCCAUUUUGCAUCAUGCUUUUAUAUCGAUAUUUAUUGCAUUAUGGGUUGUUAUUACACAUUAUGUCACAAUACUUGUGCCUAUUCUCUCUUAUUUUACAAGGUUUACAUAAAGAGGGAGAAUGCCGGCAGCUGGGAUUCUGGGCUAGAAAAGGAGCUAAUAUUAGAGGCCUAUUCUGCACAGCUCCAAAAGUCCAAAAACUUCACGGAAGCUAUUUCCAGAAUAUAUAAAAAAUACUGAGUGCAAGAAGUUCCAGAGGGGGCCACACCCUGGCCACGAGGGUGGGGGCGCGCCCUACCCCCUGGGCGCGCCCCUGCCUCAUGGGCCCCCUGGUGGCUCUCCGAUUCCCAUCUUCUGCUAUAUGGAGUCUUUCAUUGAGGAAAAAAAUCAUAAGCAAGCUUUCGGGAUGAGACUCCGCCGCCACGAGGCGGAACCUUGGCGGAACCAAUCUAGGGCUCUGGAGGAGCUGUUUUGCCAGGGAAACUUCCCUCCGGGAGGGGGAAAUCAUCACCAUUGUCAUCACCAACAAUCCUCUCAUCGGGAGGGGGUCAAUCUCCAUCAACAUCUUCACCAGCACCAUCUCAUCUCAAACCCUAGUUCAUCUCUUGUAUCCAAUCUUUGUAUCCAAACCUCAGAUUGGUACCUGUGGGUUGCUAGUAGUGUUGAUUACUCCUUGUAGUUGAUGCUAGUUGGUUUACUUGGUGGAAGAUCAUAUGUUCGGAUCCAUUAUGCAUAUUAAUACCCCCCUGAUUAUGAACAUGAAUAUGUUUUGUGAGUAGUUACGUCUGUUCCUGAGGACAUGGGAGAAGUCUUGCUAUUAGUAGUCAUGUUAAUUUGGUAUUCGUUCGAUAUUUUGAUAAGAUGUAUGUUGUCAUCCCUCUAUAGUGGUGCCAUGUGAACGUCGACUACAUGACACUUCACCAUUGUUUGGGCCUAGAGGGAGGAAUUGGGAAGUAAUAAGUAGAUGAUGGGUUGCUAGAGUGACAGAAGCUUAAACCCUAGUUUAUGUGUUGCUUCAUAAGGGGCUGAUUUGGAUCCAUAUGUUUCAUGCUAUGGUUAGGUUUACCUUAAUACUUUUGUUGUAGUUACAGAUGCUUGCAAUAGGAGUUAAUCAUAAGUGGGAUGCUUGUCCAAGUAAGGACAGUACCCAAGCACCGGUCCACCCACAUAUCAAAUUAUCAAAGUACCGAACGCGAAUCCUACGAACGUGAUGAAAACUAGCUUGACGAUAAUUCCCAUGUGUCCUCGGGAGUGCUUUCCUUCAUAUAAGAGUUUGUCCAGGCUUGUCCUUUGCUACAAAAAGGAUUGGUCCAUCUUGGUGCACCUUAUUUAUUUUUAUUACUUGCUACUCGUUACAAAUUACCUUAUCACAAAACUAUCUGUUACCUAUAAUUUCAGUGCUUGCAGAGAAUACCUUACUGAAAACUGCUUAUCAUUUCCUUCUGCUCCUCGUUGGGUUCGACACUCUUAUUUAUUGAAAAGGCUACGGUAGAUCCCCUACACUUGUGGGUCAUCAAGACUCUUUUCUGGCGUCAUUGCCGAGGAGUGAAGCGCCUUUGGUAGGUGGAAUUUGGUAAGGAAAAUUUUAUAUAGUGUGCUGAAAUUUACUGUCACUUGUUGAGGGGCUUGUUCGGGGUAUCUUCACCCCGACCGGUAGAGCAAAUAGUUGCUACUCAACCUACUAAACCUACUGAAAAUGUUUACUUUGAAAUUCCUUCAGGUAUCAUAGAGAAACUGCUAGCUAAUCCUUUUGCAGGAGAUGGAACAUUGCAUCCCGACUUACACUUAAUCUAUGUGGAUGAAGUUUGUGGAUUAUUUAAGCUUGCAGGUAUGCCCAAUGAUGUUAUCAAGAAGAAGGUAUUCCCUUUAUCUUUGAAGGGAGAUGCAUUGACAUGGUAUAGGCUGUGUGAUGAUGUGGGAUCAUGGGACUACAAGCGAUUGAAAUUGGAAUUCCAUCAGAGGUUUUAUCCUAUGCAUCUCGUUCAUCGUGAUCGUAAUUAUAUAUUUAUUUUUUUGGCCUCGCGAAGGAGAAAGCAUCUCUCAAGCUUGGGGGAGGCUUAAGUCAAUGUUAUAUUCAUGCCCCAAUCAUGAGCUCUCAAGAGAAAUUAUUAUUAAAAAAUUUAUGCUCGGCUUUCUGACAACAAUCGCUCCAUGCUCGAUACUUCUUGUAUUGGUUCCUUUAUGAUGAAGACUAUUGAAUUCAAAUGGAAUUUAUUGGAGAGAAUUAAACGCAACUCUGAAGAUUGGGAUCUCGACAAAGGUAAGGAGUCAGGUAUAAAACCUAAGUUUGAUUGUGUUAAAUCUUUUAUGGAUACCGAUGUUUUCCGUAAAUUUAGCACUAAAUAUGGACUUGACUCUGAGAUAGUGGCUUCUUUCAGUGAAUCUUUUGCUACUCAUGUUGAUCUCCCCAAGGAGAAGUGGUUUAAAUAUAAUCCUCCCAUUGAAACAAAAGUAGUUGCACCUAUUAAAGUUGAAGAAAAGACUAUCACUUAUGAUGAUCCUAUUGUUCCUACUGCUUAUGUUGAGAAACCACCUUUCCCUGUUAGAAUAAAGAAUCAUGCUAAAGCUUCAACUGUGGUCAACAAAAGUAAUAUUAAGACACCUAAACCCCCUGAGCAAAUUAAAGUUGAACCUAAAAUUGCUAUGGUUAAAGAUCUCUUGGCCGAUAAUAUUGAUGGGCAUGUUAUUUACUUCUGUGAUGAAGCUGCUAGAAUUGCUAGACCUGAUACUAAAAAUAAACAUAGACCUGUAGUAGGCAUGCCUGUUAUUUCUGUUAAAAUAGGAGAUCAUUGUUAUCAUGGCUUAUGUGAUAUGGGUGCUAGUGCUAAUGCAAUACCUAUUUCCUUAUACAAAUAAAUUAUGCAUGAUAUUGCACCAACUGAGAUAGAAGGUAUUGAUGUUACCAUUAAGCUUGCCAAUAGAGAUACUAUUUCACCAGUUGGGAUUGUUAGAGAUGUUGAAGUCUUGUGUGGGAAGGUUAAAUAUCCUGCUGAUUUUCUAGUUCUUGGUUCCCCACAAGAUAGCUUUUGUCCCUUUAUAUUUGGUAGACCCUUCUUGAAUACUGUUAAUGCUAACAUAGACAGCAAUAAAGAUAUUGUUUCUGUUGGUUUAGGGGAUAUGUCUCAUGAGUUUAAUUUUGCUAAAUUUCGUAGACAACCCCAUGAUAAAGAAUUACCUAGUAAAGAUGAAAUUAUUGGUCUUACUUCUAUUGCCAUGCCUCCUACUGAUCCCUUAGAACAAUAUUUGCUAGACCAUGAAAAUGAUAUGUUCAUGAAUGAAAGAAGGGAAAUAGAUGAAGUAUUCUUUAAACAGGGACCUAUUUUGAAACACAACUUGCCUGUUGAAAUCCUAGGGGAUCCUCCUCCACCCAAGGGUGAUCCCGUGUUUGAGCUUAAACCAUUACCUGAUACUCUUAAAUAUGCUUAUCUUGAUGAAAAGAAAAUAUAUCCUGUUAUUAUUAGUGCUAACCUUUCAGAGAAGAAGGAAGAGAAAUUAUUGAAAACUCUGAAGAAGCAUCGUGCCGCUAUUGGAUAUACUCUUGAUGAUCUUAAGGGCAUUAGUCCCACUCUAUGUCAACACAAAAUAAAUUUGGAGGAAGAUGCCAAACCAGUUAUUGAUCACCAACGACGACUGAAUCCUAAGAUGAAAGAAGUGGUAAGAAAGGAAAUAUUAAAGCUCCUUGAGGCAGGUAUAAUUUAUCGCGUUGCUGAUAGUCAGUGGGUAAGUCUUGUCCAUUGUAUCCCCAAGAAGGGAAGUAUUACUGUUGUUCCUAAUGAUAAAGAUGAAUUGAUCCCGCAAAGAAUUAUUACAGGUUAUAGGAUGGUAAUUGAUUUCUAGAAAUUAAAUAAGGCUACUAAAAAAGAUCAUUAACCUUUGCCUUUUAUUAAUCAAAUGCUAGAAAGAUUAUCCAAAGAUACACAUGUUUGCUUUCUAGAUGGUUACUCUGGCUUCUCUCAAAUACCUGUGUCAGCUGAUGAUCAAUCAAAGACCACUUUUACUUGCCCUUUCGGUACUUUUGCUUAUAGACGUAUGCCUUUUGGUUUAUGUAAUGCACCUGCUACCUUUCAAAGAUGCAUGAUGGCUAUAUUCUCUGACUUUUGUGAAAAGAUUUGUGAGGUGUUCAUGGAUGAUUUGUCCGUUUAUGGAUCCUCUUUUAAUGAUUGCUUGAGCAACCUUGAUCGAGUUUUGCAGAGAUGUGAAGAAACUAAUCUUGUCUUGAGUUGGGAGAAGUAACACUUUAUGGUUAAUGAAGGUAUUGUCUUGGGGCAUAAAAUUCUGAAAGAGGUAUUGAAUUUGACAAAGUUAAAGUUGAUGCUGUUGAAAAUAUGCCAUGUCCCAAGGACAUUAAAGGUAUAAGAAGCUUCCUCGGUCACGCUGGUUUUUAUGGGAGGUUCAUUAAGGACUUCUCAAAAAUUUCUCGGCCGCUGUCUAACCUAUUGCAAAAAGAUAUUCCUUUUGUCUUUGAUGAUGAUUAUGUAGAAGCAUUUGAAAUACUUAAGAAAGCAUUGAUUUCUGCACCUAUUGUUCAGCCACUUGAUUGGAAUUUACCCUUUGAAAUUAUGUGUGAUGCUAGUGAUUAUGCUGUAGGGGUUGUUCUAGGGCAAAGAGUUGAUAAGAAAUUAAAUGUCAUUCAAUAUGCUAGUAAAACUCUAGACAAUGCCCAGAGAAAUUAUGCUACCACUGAAAAGGAAUUCUUAGCAGUUGUAUUUGCUUGUGGUAAGUUCAGACCUUAUAUUGUUGAUUCUAAAGUAACUAUUCACACUGAUCAUGCUGCUAUUAAAUAUCUUAUGGAAAAUAAAGAUGUUAAACCUAGACUUAUUAGAUGGGUUCUCUUGCUACAAGAAUUUGAUUUGCAUAUUAUUGAUAGAAAGGGAGCUGAGAACCCCGUUGCAUACAACUUGUCUAGGUUAGAAAAUGUUCUUGAUGACCCACUACCUAUUGAUGAUAGCUUUCCUGAUGAACAAUUAAAUGUUAUAAAUGCUUCUCGUACAGCUCCAUGGUAUGUUGAUUAUGCUAAUUAUAUUGUUGCUAAAUUUAUACCACCUAGUUUCACAUACCAGCAAAAGAAAAAAGUUCUACUAUGAUUUGAGACAUUACUUUUGGGAUGACCCACAUCUUUAUAAAGAAGGAGUGGAUGGUAUUAUUAGACAUUGUGUACCUGAGCAUGAACAGGAACAUAUCCUACGCAAGUGUCACUCCAAAGCCUAUGGAGGACACCAUGCUGGAGAUAGAACUGCACUCUUCAAGGAUGCCCGUAAGUUUGUCUUGUCUUAUGAUGAAUGUCAAAGAAUUGGUAAUAUUAGUAGACGUCAAGAAAUGCCUAUGAAUUAUUCACUUGUUAUUGAACCAUUUGGUGUUUGGGGCUUUAAUUAUAUGGGACCCUUUCCUUCCUCUAAUGGGUAGACACAUAUUUUAGUUGCCGUUGAUUACGUUACUAAGUGGGUAGAAGCCAUUCCAACUAGUAGUGCUAAUCAUAACACCUCUAUUAAGAUGCUUAAAGAAGUUAUUUUCCCGAGGUUUGGAGUCCAUAGAUAUUUAAUGACUAAUGGUGGUUCACAUUUUAUUCAUGGUGCCUUUCGUAAAAUGCUUGCUAAGUAUGAUGUUAAUCAUAGAAUUGUGUCCCCUUAUCACCCACAGUCUAGUGGUCAAGUAGAAUUGAGUAAUAGAGAGCUCAAAUUAAUUUUGCAAAAGACUGUUAACAAAUCUAGAAAGAAUUGGUCCAAGAAACUUGAUGAUGCAUUAUGGGCCUAUAGAACUGCAUAUAAAAAUCCUAUGGGUAUGUCUCCGUAUAAAAUGGUUUAUGGUAAAGCAUGUCACUUACCUUUUGAAUUAGAACAUAAGGCAUAUUGGGCUAUUAAAGAGCUCAACUAUGACUUCAAACUUGCCGGUGAGAAGAGGUUAUUUGACAUUAGCUCAUUUGAUGAAUGGAGAACCUAGGCUUAUGAAAAUGCCAAGCUGUUUAAAGAAAAAGUUAAAAGAUGGCAUGAUAAAAGGAUACAAAAGCAUGAGUUCAAUGUAGGUGAUUAUGUAUUGCUAUACAACUCUCGUUUAAGAUUUUUUGCAGGCAAACUUCUCUCUAAAUGGGAAGGUCCUUACGUUAUCGAGGAGGUCUAUCGUUCUGGUGCCAUAAAAAUCAACAACUUCGAAGGCACAAAUCCGAAGGCGGUGAACGGUCAAAGAAUUAAACAUUAUAUCUCAGCUAAUCCCAUAAAUGUUGAAACUAAUGUUAUUGAAACCGUAACCCCGGAGGAAUACAUAAGGGACACUUUCCGGAACGUUUCAGACUCCGAAAAGGAAUAGGUACAUGGUACAGUAAGUAAACCGACUCCAAAAUAGUUCUAAUGGCAAUAUUUCUUCAUUUUGGAAUAUUUAAGAAAAUAGGAAAAUAAGAAGCACACCGAAAAGGACACGAGGCUUCCAUGAGGGUGGGAGGCGCGCCCUACCCCCUGGGCGCGCCCCCUGCCUCGUGGGCACCUCGUGCGCUCUCCGGACUCCGUUUUCUUGCAUGAUACUUCUUUUGGUCGGUAAAAAUUCAUUAUAUAAUCUCCCGAAGGUUUUGACCACUGUAUCACGCAAACACCUCUUAUCUUUGUUUCGAGCUGUUUUUCUGACAGAUCUAGUUCGCCAUGUCGUCUUCAAGAUCCCCUAAGGACAAGUUCUUCAAGAAGGUCAUCAACCCUACCUCGAGGAGGUGCUGCAACACCCUCAAACCAUUGAGAUGCGUGAGGGGUUGUUGCACAUUCGCGAUGUUGAGGGACCAAGGAGAACUGGAAGCGUGGAGACAAGGCUUGAGUCAAUGGAGCAGCAAGUUUUCAAGUGUCAGGAGAUGGUGGAGCGUGGACUCGACUCCAAUCACAUAAUGAUCACGGAGUUCACCAACAACCACAAGCUGGACGCCAAGGACAUUGGGGAGGCCAUCUUCAAGCUUCAUGAGAAAAUCGAGCACCUCCAAGCCCAGAUCUAUGACCUGCAAAAUCAAAACUGUGAGUAUGAAUAUAGAUUCAAGAGGAUGAGUUUGGCUGCAGAUUUGAGGAUUCCGGAGACUCUAUCAUCCUUCUAUGAUGGUGAGCCUAUGCCUUGGAAGAGGGACGACAAGCCUACAUCAUCAACAACUCCAUCUCCUUUGCAGGCAAAAGAGACAUAAUCACAUGGGUAUGGGCACUCCCCUUGGCAACUGCCAAGCUUGGGGGAGUGCCCCGGUAUCGUAUCACCAUCACUUUUAUCUUUACCGUUUUCUUAGUUCGAUCCUUUUGAUAAUAUCUUGAUCUAGUAGAACAAAGUUUUAGUAUGAUUUAGUUGCGAGUUUUGCUUUAUGAUCCUUCUAUGUAAUCGAGUCCGUGAGCUAUAUAUAAUAAAGAUUAGUGUUGAGUCAAGGGCUUGAUUAUUUUACAUCUUGAGGGAAUAAAAUAAAAAGAGAAAUAAUAAAAAGAAAUAAAGAGAUCAUAUGGAUCUUAUGGAGAGUAAUGAGCUCACAUAUAAAGAGUAUGAUGAAUAAAAGUUGUUGAGAGUUGACAAACAUAGUUUUGGUCAUCGUUGCAAUUAAUAGGAAGUAAUAAAGAAAGAGAGGUUCACAUAUAAAUAUACUAUCUUGGACAUAUUUUAUGAUUGUGAGCACUCAUUAAAGUAUGACAUGCUAAGAGUUGACGUUGGAGAAGGAAGACAACGUAAUGGUUAUGUUUUCUUUCAUCUGAGAUAAAUUAUAUUGUCAUGGAUCAUCCAACAUGUUGAGAUUGCCUUUCCCUCUCUUGCUAGCCAAUUUCUUUGCACCAAGUAGAGAUACUACUUGUGCUUCCAAAAAUCCCUAAACCCAGUUUCGCCAUGAGAGUCCACCAUAUCUACCUAUGGAUUGAGUAAGAUCCUUCAAGUAAGUUGUCAUCGGUGCAAGCAAUAAAAAUUGCUCUCUAAAUAUGUAUGACUUAUUAGUGCAGAGAAAAUAAGCUUUAUACAAUCUUGUGAUAUGGAAGAAAUAAAAGCGACUGACUGCAUAAUAAAGGUCCAUAUCACAAGUGGCAAUAUAAAGUGACGUUCUUUUGCAUUAAGAUUUUGUGCAUCCAACCAUAAAAGCGCAUGACAACCUCUGCUUCCUUCUGUGAAGGGCAUGUCUUUUACUUUUAUUUUCUACCUUCCAUAAGAGUCAUGGUGAUCUUCACCUUUCCUUUUUACAUUUUAUCCUUUAGCAAGCACAAUGGGUUGGAAAGAUCCUGAUAUAUAUAGCUAAUUGGAUGUGAGUCUUCAUGAACUAUUAUUGUUGACAUUACCCUUGAGGUAAAACAUUGGGAGGCAAAACUAUAAGCCCCUAUCUUUCUUUGUGUCCGAUUAAAACUUCAUACCCAUAAAUAUUGCGUGAGUGUUAGCAAUUGUGAAAGACUAAAAGAUGGUUGAGUAUGUGGACUUGCUGAAAAGCUCUUAUAUUGACUCUUUCCUAUGUUAUGAUAAAUUGCAAUUGCCUCAAUGACUGAGAUUAGAGUUUGUUGGUUCUCAAUGAAGUUUAUGACCCAUACUUGAAAUUGUGAUAGAAUUGUUACUUUAGCAUAAGAGAUCAUAUGACAAUAUGUUCAAAUGUUGUUGUUCUAAGAAUGAUCAUGAUGCCCUCAUGUCCGUAUUUUAUUUUUAUCGACACCUCUAUCUCUAAACAUGUGGACAUAUUUUUUGAUUUCGGCUUUCGCUUGAGGACAAGCGAGGUCUAAGCUUGGGGGAGUUGAUAUGUCCAUUUUGCAUCACGCUUUUAUAUCGAUAUUUAUUGCAUUAUGGGCUGUUAUUACACAUUAUGUCACAAUACUUAUGCCUAUUCUCUCUUAUUUUACAAGGUUUACAUAAAGAGGGAGAAUGCCGACAACUGGGAUUCUGGGCUGGAAAAGGAGCUAAUAUUAGAGACCUAUUCUGCACAGCUCCAAAAGUCCAGAAACUUCACGGAAGCUAUUUCCAGAAUAUAUAAAAAAUAUAGAGCGCAAGAAGUUCCAGAGGGGGGGCCACACCCUGGCCAUGAGGGUGGGGGCGCCCCCUGCCUCGUGGGCCCCCUAGUGGCUCUCCGAUGCCCAUAUUCUACUAUAUGGAGUCUUUCGUUGAGGAAAAAAAUCAUAAGCAAGCUUUCGGGACGAGACUCCGCCGCCACGAGGCGAAACCAAUCUAGGGCUCUGGCGGAGCUGUUCUGUCGGGGAAACUUCCCUCCGGGAGGGGGAAAUCAUCACCAUCGUCAUCACCAACGAUCCUCUCAUCGGGAGGGGGUCAAUCUCCAUCAACAUCUUCACCAGCACCAUCUCAUCUCAAACCCUAGUUCAUCUCUUGUAUCCAAUCUUUGUAUCCAAACCUCAGAUUGUUACCUAUGGGUUGCUAGCAGUGUGGAUUACUCCUUGUAGUUGAUGCUAGUUGGUUUACUUGGUGGAAGAUCAUAUGUUCAGAUCCAUUAUGCAUAUUAAGACCCCCUGAUUAUGAACAUGAAUAUGUUUUGUGAGUAGUUACGUUUGUUCCUGAGGACAUGGGAUAAGUCUUGCUAUCAGUAGUCAUGUGAAUUUGGUAUUUGUUCGAUAUUUUGAUAAGAUGUAUGUUGUCAUCCCUCUAGUGGUGUCAUGUGAACGUCGACUACAUGACACUUCACCAUUGUUUGGGCCUAGAGGGAGGCAUUGGGAAGUAAUAAGUAGAUGAUGGGUUUCUAGAGUGACAGAAGCUUAAACCCUAGUUUAUGUGUUGCUUCAUAAGGGGCUGAUUUGGAUCCAUAUGUUUCAUGCUAUUGUUAGGUUUACCUUAAUACUUUUGUUGUAGUUGCGGAUGCUUGCAAUGGGAGUUAAUCAUAAGUGGGAUGCUUGUCCAAGUAAGGAUAGUACCCAAGCACCGGUCCACCCACAUAUCAAAUUAUCAAAGUACCGAACACGAAUCAUAUGAACGUGAUGAAAACUAGCUUGACGAUAAUUCCCAUGUGUCCUCGGGAGCGCUUUCCUUCAUAUAAGAGUUUGUCCAGGCUUGUCCUUUGCUACAAAAAGGAUUGGGCCAUCUUGCUGCACCUUAUUUACUUUUAUUACUUGCUACUCGUUACAAAUUACCUUAUCACAAAACUAUCAGUUACCUAUAAUUUCAGUGCUUGCAGAGAAUACCUUACUAAAAACUGCUUAUCAUUUCCUUCUGCUCCUCGUUGGGUUCGACACUCUUACUUAUCGAAAAGGCUAUGAUAGAUCCCCUACACUUGUGAGUCAUCAACAUGAUGUAGAGGGAUAAACUCAAGCAAUAUGAUAUAAACCCCAUCUUUUUAUCCUAGAUGGCAACAAUACAAUACAUGCCUUGCUGCCCCUGCUGUCACUGGGAAAGGACACCGCGAGAUUGAACCCAAAGCUAAGCACUUCUCCCAUUGCAAGAAAGAUUAAUCUAGUAGGCCAAACCAAACUGAUAAUUCGAAGAGACUUGCAAAGAUAACCAAUCAUACAUAAAAGAUUUCAGAGAAGAAUCAAAUAUUGUUCAUAGAUAAUCUUGAUCAUAAACCCACAAUUCAUCGGAUCUCGACAAACAAACCGCAAAAAGAGUUACAUCGAAUAGAUCUCCAAUAAGAUCAAGGAGAACUUUGUAUUGAGAUCCAAAGAGAGAGAAGAAGCCAUCUAGCUAAUAACUAUGGACCCGAAGGUCUGAGGUAAACUACUCACACAUCAUCAGAGCGGCUAUGGUGUUGAUGUAGAAGCCCUCCGUGAUCGAUUGCCCCUCUGGCGGAGCUCCGGAAAAGGCCCCAAGAUGGGAUCUCUUGGGUACAGAAGGUUGCGGCGGUGGAAAUAGGGUUUUGUGGUGCUCCUGGAUGUUUUCGGGGUAUAUGGAUAUAUAUAGGAGGAAGAAGUAGGUCGGUGGAGCUACGAGGGGCCCACGAGGGUGGGGGCGCGCCUCCCUGCCUCGUGGCCUCCUCGUUGAUUUCUUGACGUCUACUCCAAGUCCCCUGGAUCACGUUUGUUCCAAAAAUAACUCUCCCAAAGGUUUCAUUCCGUUUGGAUUCUGUUUGAUAUUCCUUUUCUGCGAAACACUGAAAUAGGCAAAAAAAACAACAAUUUGCACUUGGCCUUGGGUUAGUAGGUUAGUCCCAAAAAUAAUAUAAAAGUGUAUAAAUAAGCCCAUUAAACAUCCAAAACAGAUAAUAUAAUAGCAUGGAACAAUCAAAAACUAUAGAUACGUUGGAGACGUAUCAAGGCGCGCCAAGGAGGGGAGGAGUCCUCCUCCUGGUAGGAGUAGGACUCCCCCUUUCCUAGUCCAACCAGGAAGGAAGGAGAGGGAGAGAAGAGAAGGAAAGGGGGCGCCCCCCCCCCCCUUCCCUAGUCCAAUUCGGACUAGAGGGGGAGCGGCACGCGGCCCUGCCUUGGCCAGCCCUCUCUCUCUCCACUAAGGCCCAUGUUGGCCCAUUAGUCCCCCCGGGGGUUCCAACCCCCGGUACUCCGGUAAUUAUCCAGUGACCCCCGGAACUCAUCUGGUGUCCGAAUAUAGUCAUCCAAUAUAUCAAUCUUUAUGUCUCGACCAUUUCGAGACUCCUCGUCAUGUCUGUGAUCACAUUCGGGACUCCAAACUAUUUUCGGUGCAUAAAAACACAUAAACUCAUAAUACUAAUCGUCACCGAACGUUAAGCGUGCGGACCCUACGGGUUUGAGAACUAUGUAUACAUGACUGAGACACGUCUCCAGUCAAUAACCAAUAUUGGAACCUGGAUGUUCAUAUUGGCUCCCACAUAUUCUACGAAGAUCUUUAUCGGUCAAACCGCAUAAAGAUAUACGUUGUUCCCUUUGUCAUCGGUAUGUUACUUGCUCGAGAUUCGAUCGUCGGUAUCUCAAUAUCUAGUUCAAUCUCGAUAUCGGCAAGUCUCUUUACUCAUUCAGUAAUGCAUCAUCCCGUAUCUAACUCAUUAGUCACAUUGCUUGCAAGGCUUAUAGUGAUGUGCAUUACCGAGAGGGCCCAGAGACACCUCUCCGAUACUCGGAGUGACAAAUCCUAAUCUCGAUCUAUGCCAACUCAACAAACACCAUCAGAGACACAUGUAGAACAUCUUUAUAGUCACCUAGUUACGUUGUGACGUUUGAUAGCACACUAAGUGUUCCUCCGGUAUUCGGGAGUUGCAUGAUCUCAUAGUCAUAGGAACAUGUAUAAGUUAUGGAGAAAGCAACAGCAACAAACUAAACGAUCAUCGUGAUAAGCUAACGGAUGGGUCAAGUCAAUCACAUCAUUCUCUAAUGAUGUGAUCCCAUUAAUCAAAUGACAACUCAUGUCUAUGGUUAGGAAACAUGACCAUCAUUUAUUCAAUGAGCUAGUCAAGUAGAGGCAUACUAGUGACACUCUGUUUGUCUAUGUAUUCACACAUGUACUAAGUUUUCGGUUAAUAUAAUUCUAGCAUGAAUAAUAAACAAUUAUCAUGAUAUAAGGAAAUAUAAAUACAACUUUAUUAUUGCCUCUAGGGCAUAUUCCCUUCAGUCUCCCACUUUCACUAGAGUCAAUAAUCUGGAUUACAUUGUAAUGAUUCCAACACCCAUGGAGUCUUCGUGCUAAUCAUGUUUUGCUCAUGAGAGAGGCUUAGUCAAUGGGUCUGCAACAUUCAGAUCCAUAUGUAUCUUGCAAAUCUCCAUGUCUCCCUCCUUGACUUGAUCGCGGAUGGAAUUGAAGCGUCUCUUGAUGUGCUUGGUUCUCUUAUGAAAUUUGGAUUCUGUGACGCCCCCGAUUCAAUCGUACACUAAUCAUACACACAAACGUGUACGAUCAAGAUCAGGGACUCACGUGAAGAUAUCACAACACAACUCUACAAAUAAAAUAAGUCAUACAAGCAUCAUAUUACAAGCCAGGGGCCUCGAGGGCUCGAAUACAAGAGCUCGAUCAUAGACGAGUCAGCGGAAGCAACAAUAUCUGAGUACAGACAUAAGUUAAACAAGUUUGCCUUAAGAAGGCUAGCACAAACUGGGAUACAGAUCGAAAGAGGCGCAGGCCUCCUGCCUGGGAUCCUCCUAAACUACUCCUGGUCGCCGUCAGCGGGCUGCACAUAGUAGUAGGCACCUCCGGUGUAGUAGGAGUCGUCGUCGAAGGUGGCGUCUGGCUCCUGGGCUCCAACAUCUGGUUGCGACAACCAGGUAGAAGGGAUAGGGGGAAAAGAGGGAGAAAGCAACCGUGAGUACUCAUCCAAAGUACUCGCAAGCAAGGAGCUACACUACAUAUGUAUGCAUCGGUAUCAACUGGAAUAAGGCUAUUAUAUGUGGACUGAACUGCAGAAAGCCGGGAUAAGGAGGGAUAGCUAGUCCUUUCGAAGACUACACUUCUGGCAGCCUCGUCUUGCAGCAUGUAGAAGAGAGUAGACUGAAGACCUCCAAGUAGCAUCGUAUAGCAUAAUCCUAACCGAUGAUCCUCCCCUCGUCGCCCUGUGAGAGAGCGAUCACCGGUUGUAUAUGGCACUUGGAAGGGUGUGUUUUAUUAAGUAUCCGGUUCUAGUUGUCAUAAGGUCAAGGUACAACUCCAAGUCGUCCUGUUACCGAAGAUCACGGCUAUUCGAAUAGAUUAACUUCCCUGCAGGGGUGCACCACAUAACCCAACAUGCUCGAUCCCAUUUGGCCGGACACACUUUCCUGGGUCAUGCCCGGCCUCGGAAGAUCAACACGUCGCAGCCCUACCUAGGCACAACAGAGAGGUCAGCACGCCGGUCUAAAUCCUAUGGCGCAGGGGUCUGGGCCCAUCACCCUUUGCACACCUGCAUGUUGCGAACGCGGCCGGAAGCAGAACUAGCCCCCUUAAUACAAGAGCAGGCUUACGGUCCAAUCCGGCGCGCGCCACUCAGUCGCUGAUGUCACGAAGGCUUCGGCUGAUACCACGACGUCGAGUGCCCAUAACUGUCCCCGCGUAGAUGGUUAGUGCGUAUAUGCCAAUAGCCAGACUCAGAUCAAAUACCAAGAUCUCGUUAAACAUGUUAAGUAUCUGCGAACACCGACCAGGGCCAGGCCCACCUCUCUCCUAGGUGGUCACAACCUGCCUUGUCGCUUCGCCACAAAGAUCCACACAGAGGGCCGUUGGGACAAAGGUCCUUUCAGCCCCCAAUCCGUGAAUCACUCGCGGGUGCUCCACAAGCCGACCCGACUUUAGUCACCACAUGUAUCAUGUAUAAAGUAUAUAGUAUAUACCCGUGAUCACCUCCCGAGUGAUCAUGGCCCGAUAAUAUAGCAUGGCAGACGGACAAGAAUGUAUGGCCACUGAUGAUAAUCUAGCAUCCUAUACUAAGCAUUAGGAUUGCAGGUAAAGGUAUCAACAAUAGUAGCAAGGACAGGCUAUGCAUCAGAAUAGGAUUAACGGAAAGCAGUAACAUGCUACACUACUCUAAUGCAAGCAGUAGAGAAAGAGUAGGUGAUAUCUGGUGAUCAAAAGGGGGGGCUUGCCUGGUUGCUCUGGCAAGAGAGAGGGGUCGUCAACACUGUAGUCAUACUGGGUAGCAGCGGCGUCGGUCUCGAUGUCUAGCGAGAGAAGAGGGGGAAGAAACAAUAAAUAUAAUGCAAACAGAAGCAUGACAAUGCAUGACGUGACAAAGCGUGAUGCUAGGUGUGCCCUAACGCGGUAUGAGGUGAUGCCGGUGAAGGGGGGAAACAUCCGGGAAAGUAUCCCCGGUGUUUCGUGUUUUCGGGCAGACGAGCCGGAGGGGGAAAGUUGCGAGUUCGAUAGGUUAGGGAUGCGUGGCGGACGAACGGGCUGCGUUUCCGGAUUCGCCUCGUCAUUCUGAGCAACUUUCAUGUACAAAGUUUUUUCAUCCGAGCUACGGUUUAUUUUAUAUUAAUUAUUAAAGAUUUAAAUCAUUUUUAGUACUAACAAAAUUAAUUAAUUUAGGAAAUACAAUUAUGACGUCAGCAUGAUGUCAGCGGUCAACUCUGACCGUUGACCAGUCAACUGGUGGGUGGGGCCCGUCGGUCAUUGAUUGUUAUCUCAUUAUCAGAAUUAAUUAGCCUAAUUAGGUUUAGGUUAACUAAACAGAAUUAAUUAAGUUAAUUAAUUAUCCUAAUUAAUUAAUUAUUAUAAUUUUCUAAUUCCUCUUUUUUUUUAAAGGGGCAUGGGGCCCAUAUGUCAUAGGCUCAUAGUAAUUAAAUAGGGUUAAUUAGCUUUAACUAAAUGAUUAGGUUAAUCUAAUCCAAUUUAAUUAAUUCUUUAAUUAAUUAAUUAACAUUUUAAUUAUCAUAUUUAUUAUUUAUUUCUCUUUUUUUGUUAAAAACGUUCUGGUCGUGGGGCCCCCUGUCAUAGGCACAGGGGGCCUUAACGGGUUUUGGGCGCCGGGGCAACGGUUGUUGCCCGAAUGGGCGCAGUUGCGGGCGCCGGGUCGCCUGGACCCGGGCGCUGCCUUGCCGGCAGCCAUGGCGGGGCACGACGCCGGCCAUGGAAGGGAGCGGGCCGCGGCGGAUGCGGCGGUAGGGGGUGGUAGCUGGGGCGAGGACGCGGCCGGCAGCCAUGGCGAGCGGAGGCGGGCGCUAGAAGCGGUAGGGUGAAGGCGGAGAUGGCCGCGGGGCGAGGCGCGAGCAGGCGCGGGCUUGCGCGCGCGUGGCGCGUAGGCGCGGCGAGGCCGGGAGCACGAUGACAGAAGUACGAGGCAGCACCGACGCGGACGACCUAGGGAAAGGGGUAGGGGAGAUGGGGUCAUACCCCCGGUGCAGGGGUUCGGUCGGCGAAGUUCGGGGCGGCCGGCGUAGAUCGAGGCGAGCCAUGUGGCGGCCGUCGUCGAAGAAGAUCGUCGAGGGAGCCGUCGUUGGGGCGUCCUAGCUCACGUGCACCAGUGUAGACGACGAAGACGACGAGGCAGACCUCACAGACGCGAGGGGUUGCUGAUUCGGUGGUGUUGGUCGCGGUGGUUUGCGGCGGUUCCUCGCGCGCGGGCAUGCCGGCGAGGUGGGCUUCGGCGUGUCAAGGGGGUCCAGCGCGGGGCUCUUGUCGUCGCUGGAGAACGNNNNNNNNNNNNNNNNNNNNNNNNNNNNNNNNNNNNNNNNNNNNNNNNNNNNNNNNNNNNNNNNNNNNNNNNNNNNNNNNNNNNNNNNNNNNNNNNNNNNNNNNNNNNNNNNNNNNNNNNNNNNNNNNNNNNNNNNNNNNNNNNNNNNNNNNNNNNNNNNNNNNNNNNNNNNNNNNNNNNNNNNNNNNNNNNNNNNNNNNNNNNNNNNNNNNNNNNNNNNNNNNNNNNNNNNCUCGGUCAGGAGGAGUGGGGGUCGCGAGAGGAGUGGGGGAGGGGGGUCGUGCGGGGCGACGGGGAUGGUUCCGAUCUGGAUCGGUGGGGAGAAGUGGGGGCGGUGGUUGCCCUAGGGUUCGAUCGGGUUGGGGGAUAAGGGAGGGCAGCCUGGGCCAGGUGACUGGCAUGACGGGGAGCGGUGUGACGCCCAGAUAAUUAACCUACAGUAAUCCAUGUUAACGAUGCCACGUCACCUCGGUUACUGUUGCUAAUCUCACGUUAGUUCAAAACCAAUUUAAAAUUCAAAUUCAAAAUCAAGUCAAACAUUUAAAGUUUUCAAAAAUCAAAACUAAAAUGUUGUCAAGAUGUUAAAUAAAUCAUGGGUAAUAAUGGUGGAGAAACCUAAAUUUAAUAAAAUGUUUAAGUGUUCAAAAUAAUUAAAAUAGAGAUUUAAAUAUUAAAAUAAAUACCUUUUGAAUUUUAUAAAAUAUUAAACUAUUUUAAUUUGGGUUGAGAAUUAAUGUGGCAGUAGUAUAUUUAAAGGUAUUAACCUAGGUGUUACUGGUAAUUUUUACAAAACUAAAAUAAGAGAAAACUAAAAGUAAAACAGUAGAAGAAAAAUACAUAAAAGGAAACGAAACAAACAGAAAACAAAACAAAAAAAACCACCCCGCUCCCCAUGGGCCUCGGCCCUUCCCACCCAACCAGCCUACUUGGCCCAACCGGCCACCCCCACACCCCAGAAACCCUAACCCCCCACUCCUCUCGAUCCCCACUCCCUCUCCCCCUCCCGAUCCAGUCUGGAUCGUGGACGAAGACCCCACUCCCCUCGAGCCUCGCCCCGACACCCGCGGCGCCCCGAGGCCGAUGUCGCCGCGCGGAGCCCCCUCGUCGCCGGACCGCGCCGCACCGUGUCUGAGGACCGCCGCCUCCGCCCACCCGCUCCUCCAGAGUCGCCGCACCGAACCUCUCCGCCGGAUCUCGACCUCGCCGGCGCCUCUUCCCCGCUGGCCUACUUCUCCUCUCCGUCCCGGUCGUCUCCGUCGACCACCCCGACAACCGCUGCCAUUUCCCUACCGGCCUCGUGAGCCUCUCCCUCCCCUCCUCUUUGCUGCCGUAUCGCGCGCACGCUCCGUCGUGGCCGCGCCCAUUCCCCUUUCCCCUCCGUCGCGCCGUACUGCCGCCCGCACCUCCGCACGCGCCUGCGCCACGCCUAGCCGCGCCUCGUGCGCCCCAGGCGCGCCCCGUCCCUGAGCCCUGCCGCGCCCGGGCUCACCGCCUACCCGCGGGCACACGCCCCGCCGCCGCGUCCGCCUGCCUCCGCCGGCGGCCACCUCCACCCGCUCAUGCCCUGCCUCCUCCUGCGCCCCGUGCACCCUCCACCGCGCCGCCUAGCCCCGGUGCUGCCCCGAUGUGGCCUCGCCGAACUGGCCCCCCCCUCGGUCUGUCGAUCUGGGCGCCAACGCCCGUUUAGCCCGCCCCGUUAGGCCCCUGGGCCAAUGGCACGUGGGGCCCGCCCCUGAGAACGUUUAUAAAAAAAGAAAGAAUUGAAAUAAUAAUAAUAAUAAUAAUAAUUAAUUAACAUAAUUAAUUUUGAUCAAUUAAACUAAAACAACUAAUUAAGCCUAGCUAAUUAACCUAAACCCUAAUUAUCUAAACAGUCAAUGACAGGGGGUCCCACCCCUGUUGACCAGUCAAACGUUGACUGGUCAACUGGGUCCCCUAGCCCACAUGCCAGCCUCUGUGUACAUUCUGUGUACACAGGGCUGGGUACCCAUAGCAUUUUGUCUAUUAAUUUUGAAUUAGUAAUAAUUUCAUAAAAUGAAUAAAACUUUGAAAAAUCAUAUAAAAUAAUUUGUAACUCGGAUGGAGAAACUUUGUACAUGAAAGUUGCUCAGAACGACGAGACGAAUCCAGAUACACAACCCGUUCGUCCACCACACAUCCCUAGAAUAGCAAACAUGCAACUUUCCCCCUCCGGUUCGUUUGUCCGAAAACGCGAAACACCGGGGAUAAUUUCCCGGAUGUUUCCCCCCUUCACCGGUACCACCUCGUACCGCGUUAGGGCACACCUAGCAUCACGCUUUGUCAUGUCAUGCAUCGUCAUGCAUUUGUUUGCAUUAUAUUUAUUGUUUCUUCCCCCUCUUCUCUCGCUAGACACCGAGACCGACGCCGCUGCUACCCAGUACGACUAUGAUGUUGACGACCACUCUCUCUUGCCAGAGCAACCAGGCAAGCCCCCCCUUUGAUCACCAGAUAUCGCCUACUCUUUUCUCUACUGCUUGCAUUAGAGUAGUGUAGCAUGUUACUGCUUUCCGUUAAUCCUAUUCUGAUGCAUAGCUUGUCCUUGCUACUACUGUUGUUACCUUUACCUGCAAUCCUAAUGCUUAGUAUAGGAUGCUAGAUUAUCAUCAGUGGCCAUACAUUCUUGUCCGUCUGACAUGCUAUACUACUGGGCCGUGAUCACUUCGGGAGGUGAUCACGGGCAUUUACAAUAUACUUUACACACUUACAUUACCUGUGAUACUGUUCGGAGAUGGGGGCUGAAGGGGCAGGUGGCUCCAUCCCGGUAGAGGUGGGCCUGGGUUCCCGACGGCCCCCGACUGUUACUUUGUGGCGGAGCGACAGGGCAGGUUGAGACCACCCAGGAGAGAGGUGGGCCUGGCCCUGGUCGGCGUUCGCAGAUACUUAACACGUUUAAUGAGAUCUUGGUAUUUGAUCUGAGUCUGGCUACUGGCCUAUACGCACUAACCAUCUACGCGGGGACAGUUAUGGGCACUCGACGUCGUGGUAUCAGCCGAAGCCUUCGUGACGUCAGCGACUGAGUGGCGCGCGCCGGAUUGGACCGUAAGCCUGCUCUUGUAUUAAGGGGGCUAGUUCUGCUUCCGGCCGCGUACGCAACGUGCAGGUGUGCAAUGGGCGAUGGGCCCAGACCCCUGCGCCAUAGGAUUUAGACCGACAUGCUGACCUCUCUGUUGUGCCUAGGUAGGGCUGCAACGUGUUGAUCUUCCGAGGCCGGGCAUGACCCAGGAAAGUGUGUCCGGCCAAAUGGGAUCGAGCGUGUUGGGAUAUGUGGUGCACCCCUGCAGGGAAGUUAAUCUAUUCGAAUAGCCGUGAUCUUCGAUAACAGGACGACUUGGAGUUGUACCUUGACCUUAUGACAACUAGAACUGGAUACUUAAUAAAACACACCCUUCCAAGUGCCAGAUACAACCGGUGAUCGCUCUCUCACAGGGCGACGAGGGGAGGAUCAUCGGUUAGGGUUAUGCUAUGCGAUGUUACUUGGAGGACUUCAGUCUACUCUCUUCUACAUGCUGCAAGCGGAGGCUGCCAGAAGCGUAGUCUUCGACAGGAUUUGCUAUCCCCCUCUUUCUCUAGCAUUCUGCAGUUCAGUCCACCGAUAUGGCCUUUACACAUAUACCCAUGCAUAUGUAGUGUAGCUCCUUGCUUACGAGUACUUUGGAUGAGUACUCACGGUUGCUUUCUCCCUCUUUUCCCCCUAUCCCUUCUACCUGGUUGUCGCAACCAGAUGUUGGAGCCCAGGAUCCAGAUGCCACCAUCGACGAUGACUCCUACUACACCGGAGGUGCCUACUACUACGUGCUGCCCGCUAACGACGACCAGGAGUAGUUAGGAGGAUCCCAGGCAGGAGGCCUGCGCCUCCUUCGAUCUGUAUCCCAGUUUGUGCUAGCCUUCUUAAGGCAAACUUGUUUAACUUAUGUCUGUACUCAGAUAUUGUUGCUUCCGCUGACUCGUCUAUGAUCGAGCUCUUGUAUUCGAGCCUUCGAGGCCCCUGGCUUGUAAUAUGAUGCUUGUAUGACUUAUUUUAUUUGUAGAGUUGUGUUGUGAUAUCUUCUCGUGAGUCCCUGAUCUUGAUCGUACACGUUUGUGUGUAUGAUUAGUGUACGGUCAAAAUCGGGGGAGUCACAAGUUGGUAUCAGAGCCAACUGCCUGUAGGAAUCCCCCUUCCAACUCCUUGGCCGAAGUCGAGUCUAGACAUUGCAAAACUUUUACUAACAUGGCUGUGUGUCUUACAGGCACACGUCGCCAUUGGGUGGUAGUAGAAUCUUUUAUUCCUCAACCUAUACUCUGGGACUCUGACAUCUCUUCAAUUCGGGUUAAACGAUUUUACUAACUCUGACUCUAGGUUCUCGAUAAUACUUUCUCCCGAAGAGCCCCUUCAGUCCAGAUGAUCGCCGGCUGCACCAGAAGAUUUCGAAGAUACUCUCCGAUUUUCUCUCGAGACCUUGUGCCCGUUGCUUUUGCAAUUCCCUUCCACCGAAAUAUCCCUAUGGGUAAAUACUUACACUUGUCGUGCUUUCUUUUAUUCCCAGUCGAUCUUGUUAUUACAAGAUACGCCUAGAAUAUUUUGUAAUUACUGCCUUGCAGUUCUUUGCCACCUGAAUACCCCUAAGAAUAAUUUCUCGCACUUUCCGAGUAUCCGCUCAUCCCCAGUUGUUCAGGUGUUUCACAAAAGUCUUUGAAAUACUAUUCAAUCCUCCGAAAAUCCUUAGCAGCUUUAUUGCUCUGCAAAUACUUGUCUACUUGCAUUAUGGAUGCUUCCCAUAUAUCUGGCAAUAUUCACUAGUAUCUUUUGACACCGUCAUUUUGUUCCUAUUGAUUCAACAUGUGUACGAAUGCACACAAUCAUCUAUCAACCCUUCUAAAUUAUCUUUCCGGCUCAGACAUCAUUUUUGAACAUGAGCUGGUUCUCGACCAAACUAUUUGUCAUCAAUUGUGCCUCUGGUCUAUCCAACUAAUCCAUCCUUGAUCAGAGCAUCUGCUUCUGAUCCUUUGUUUUGGAAAUCAUAAUUCCUUUGUUAUAUAAGCAUCGAAUUGUUCAGAUGUUCUAUAAUAUGAUGCCCGUGCAUUCUUCUUCCUCUGGUUGAGUACCGAUGCUCACAUCAGAUCCCCUGUGGACCAUCAGUUCCUUUGUUGGAUUUUAUCCGACAGUGUCCUUCAUAUUGAAUAACCUUGAGAGCCUUUCCAUGGGUAUAUAAUGCCUUUGGUAAAUUGUAUCAUCUGCUUUUGAACAAUGCUCUACUUUCGAGCUUGUGAUAUUUACUCUUGAAACUUGUGGUAUAUAUUUCUAAGAUAUCCCGAUGGGUUGAACAUUAUGCCUUCCUUAAUCUGUGUGAACCCGAAAACUUUUCAGGGGUCAUACUCCUCUAGUAAUUCACCUGGUAGGUUUUCACACUAAAAUCGUUUUAUUAGAGCUGUGAAUGAAAGAUUAUGCAUUGCAGAAGUGGGAGUCGACCUUGAACCUUUGUGUUCAUGCCCAUGGACACGAUGUAGAUCCUAUCAUGGAAGCUUCUUGUAAUAAUAAUUAUUUCCUUAAUAUAAUAUCCUUUGGUAUCGGUGAAUUGAUCCUUUGCAAUUGUGGUUCCGACCAUAUGUUCUUCUUUGAUCCCAUUUCUCGGGCAAGUUUAAGCACUUGUCUUCCGUGGAUCAAUACACCAGUCCAACCUUUACUUUGAUCUUUCAUCGAGUAUUACACCUUGGUAUCUCGAGGUUAUCACGGAACUACAUAACUUCUUAUGAGUUCUUCAUCAACUAUUAUUCUCACCGAUUCCAACCCCCCCCCCCCGGGUUCUGAGUUAAUAAUCACUCGAGAACACCGAUAAGUGAAUCGAUUCCGCACUCGGAUUCAAUAAAUCUAAGUAAUUUUCGUUGCUUAUGAGUUUAAUAACUCUUCAAGUCAUUCCUAGCCUAAUCGGCUACAUCAUUAUUGUGCCAAUUUUGACUGUACUACCUGGUCCUUCCCGGAGCACAAUUUUCGACGAUGAGCUAAGCUUACGUCGAUUUUCCUUGUCAUAUCAUUUCACCUUGAACAGCAAGCUUGAUUUCAAGUUUGUGUCGUACAUGUGCUUCCAUUCAUCUCUUGCUUCAUCAUCCCUUUGACUUGAUGUCAUCGCUAAUCGAUUACAUCCUCAUGAAAUCUCUCGACAAAAAAUGUCGUGGUCAUCAUCAACAUUUUGAAUCCUUUCAGGAUACCAAUCGAAUUCAUGAUUAUAAGUAACACCCUUGUUCCUUGGUAAUUUGAGUUACCAUCGACAACAUCCUUGCCUUCUCUCCAACACAAACUUGUUCGUGUUUUGUAUUACACCUUAGGUUCCUUGGCAUCCAGCUUAUGAUGUGUUCUACCUUGGAGUAUUACCAUCUGUAAUGUCAAGAAUGUCAUGGGAAUCCCCCACCUCUUCAGGAUUCUGAUUAUAUUAGUACUUCUCGCCAUCUUCGUUCCUUUCUUGGUCCCCGUGUUGAUUCGAAUCGGAAUACCGACAAUUGAACUUUGAGGUGUGAAUUCAAAACUUCUAGCAACCCUAAUGCUUUGAAGUGAAUGAUUGAUAGUUUCAUUCUAAUUCUUUUGUUCAUUAAGUCACCAUUCUAACAUUAUUUGUGCGACCCAGCCAUAUUUCGGGUGCACCUGUCAACCAAUGCUUAAUUGGGUAUGUUUUCCUCGAGCAUACCUCAUUAUAUCAUUUGAUCUGACAAUUGUUAUCUCCUUGUCUGCAUGAUCGUGGAAAUCCAUCUUUUGAGAUCUCAAUGAAUUUUCGCUGAGUCCCUCAGCCACCUCCUAACCCUCUCCUUGAUUUAAUGAUGAACUCUUGUUUCGGAACUUGCUUCUAUAGUUCAUUCCCCGAUAUAAUGUCAUCUUGUCAAAUUGUGUUGCACCUUUUCUUCUCAGGCAUCCUAAGUUUGAGGUAUCCUGACACCAAUCGGAUCUGAACCUCGGUCAUGUAUGAUGGUUGGAACAUUUUCCAAGUGUUAUAACAUUGGUCUACAUGUGACCUGGUAAGGUGAUGUCAUGCCUAGCACACCUGGCCGGAGGACCUAUUUUUGUAGUUUCCUUUUUGGCAAGGUUAGCCAUUUUUCCAUGAGGAAAUUGUAAGACUUAUUAUGUAAGUUGUUCCUGAUGGAUCCUUAGAGUAUCCAAAGUCGGAUCUUUACCCAGUGACCAUGUCAAUGCUAUCUCGAAACAUGACUGUGGUACUCCGAAUUGCAAUAAGAACAUUUGAAGCACAAUGCUAAAAUUUCUUUAUCAAUUAUCCAAACACCGUUGUAUGGGUAAUGGCAUGAAAUUUCUCUCCCUUUUCCUAAAGGGUUUUCUACGUUAUAUCCCGUCAUGGAAAUCAUGCUCUGCUUGCUCUUGGGAAGGAUAUACCCCUGGAAUAUCUGAUAAUCAUAAUUUCCUUUCCAUUAUUUGGUUUAACCUUUCUGGUGAUCAUUAUGGUCUAAGCAAUAUUAACUCCCUGCUUAUGUAAACCCCUCGGUGUACAAUUCUGUCAGUAAGACCCUGUUACCUUUGUUGAUGACAUUCCGGUAACCACCGAUGGACGAGAACUUUGCCUAUUGGUCCGCCUCGUUGCAACGAGCAGGAAAAUGGUUCUCUUCGUCCCUCGCCCUUGGUACCAACGUUGUUGCCGACAUAGCUAACAUGGUACUCCCUGACAUGCCUUGCUAUCAUGAUCGUGCCAGAUGUCACUACUCAAAAAAAAACCACAUGGUGGCCCAUAACCCACAGUUCCAUAGGAUCGAAACUUGACUCUCCUGCAACCCCUGUUCCCAAGGUUCUUCCUCGCGUGUGGCCUCGUAUGUAUUUCACGAGCCACCUUUCGAGAGAUCAUCAAAUCUGUUACCGGACGCAAUACUUAAUCCCGAUUGCUUUGAGCCCCUUUCAAGCCCCGUUUCAGGCAUCGAACGGUUGCCUGCUCGCUCGAGACUUCCCAUGAAACCUCAUUACUUGCUCUCGAUAUUUACUUAAGUUUCAAUUCGAGAGUUACUUUCCGCCACCUUCCCCGAUGUUAUCGACCAGAUAGUCAACCUUGUAGAGGUUCGUUCUCCCGGAAUACCCCCCUUAUUCUCUCAUUAGUAUGAUGGAACCCCGACUUCAUCAUGAAGACUGAAACAGCAAAAUGAAGACAACAAUGUAAUGGAUCAACCUCUUCGAGAAGAACAACCAAGACCAAGAACACUCCGUGGAGUUUCGUAACCCGAACCUUCCCCCUUUACUUCCCUCUUAAAUCUCGGGACGAGAUUUCUUAUAGUGGAGGAGAAUUGUGACGCCCGGAUAAUUAACCUACAGUAAUCCAUGUUAAUGAUGCCACGUCACCUCGGCUACUGUUGCUAAUCUCACGUUAGUUCAAAACCAAUUAAAAAUUCAAAUUCAAAAUAAUGUCAAACAUUUAAAGUUUUCAAAAAUCAAAACUAAAAUGUUGUCAAGGUGUUAAAUAAAUCAUGGGUAAUAAUGGUGGAGAAACCUAAAUUUAAUAAAAUGUUUAAGUGUUCAAAAUAAUUAAAAUAGAGAUUUAAAUAUUAAAAUAAAUACAUUUUGAUUUUUAUAAAAUAAUAAACUAUUUUAAUUUGGGUUGAGAAUUAAUGUGGCAGUAGUAUAUUUAAAGGUAUUAACCUAGGUGUUAGUGGUAAUUUUUAUAAAACUAAAAUAAGAGAAAACUAAAAGUAAAACAGUAGAAGAAAAAUACAUAAAAGGAAACGAAACAAACAGAAAACAAAACAAAAGAAACCACCCCGCUCCCCAUGGGCCUCGGCCCUUCCCACCCAACCAGCCUACUUGGCCCAACCGGCCACCCCCUGGCCUAUAAGGCCACCCCCACACCCCAGAAACCCUAACCCCCCACUCCUCUCGAUCCCCACUCCCUCUCCCCCUCCCGAUCCAGUCUGGAUCGUGGACGAAGACCCCACUCCCCUCGAGCCUCGCCCCGACACCCGUGGCGCCCCGAGGCUGACAUCGCCGCACGGAGCCCCCUCGUCNNNNNNNNNNNNNNNNNNNNNNNNNNNNNNNNNNNNNNNNNNNNNNNNNNNNNNNNNNNNNNNNNNNNNNNNNNNNNNNNNNNNNNNNNNNNNNNNNNNNNNNNNNNNNNNNNNNNNNNNNNNNNNNNNNNNNNNNNNNNNNNNNNNNNNNNNNNNNNNNNNNNNNNNNNNNNNNNNNNNNNNNNNNNNNNNNNNNNNNNNNNNNNNNNNNNNNNNNNNNNNNNNNNNNNNNNNNNNNNNNNNNNNNNNNNNNNNNNNNNNNNNNNNNNNNNNNNNNNNNNNNNNNNNNNNNNNNNNNNNNNNNNNNNNNNNNNNNNNNNNNNNNNNNNNNNNNNNNNNNNNNNNNNNNNNNNNNNNNNNNNNNNNNNNNNNNNNNNNNNNNNNNNNNNNNNNNNNNNNNNNNNNNNNNNNNNNNNNNNGUCCGCCUGCCUCCGCCGGCGAUCACCUCCACCCGCUCAUGCCCUGCCUCCCCCUGCGCCCCGUGCACCCUCCACCGCGCCGCCUAGCCCCGGUGCUGCCCCAAAGUGGCCUCGCCGCGCCCGUGACUGGCGCCCCCCCCCUCGGUCUAUCGAUCUAGGCGCCAACGCCCGUUUAGCCCGCCCCGUUAGGCCCCUGGGCCAAUGGCACGUGGGGCCCGCCCCUGAGAACGUUUAUAAAAAAGAAAGAAUUGAAAUAAUAAUAAUAAUAAUAAUUAAUUAAUUAAUUAAAGAAUUAAUUAACUUAAUUAAUUUUGAUCAAUUAAACUAAAACAACUAAUUAAGCCUAGCUAAUUAACCUAAACCCUAAUUAUCUAAACAGUCAAUGACAGGGGGUCCCACCCCUAUUGACCAGUCAAACGUUGACUGGUCAACUGGGUCCCCUGGCCCACAUGUCAGCCUCUGUGUACAUUCUGUGUACACAUGGCUGGGUACCCAUAGCAUUUUGUCUAUUAAUUUUGAAUUAGUAAUAAUUUCAGAAAAUGAAUAAAACUUUGAAAAAUCAUAUAAAAUAAUCUGUAACUCGGAUCGAGAAACUUUGUACAUGAAAGUUGCUCAGAACGACGAGACGAAUCCGGAUACACAACCCGUUCGUCCACCACACGUCCCUAGCAUAGCAAACAUGCAACUUUCCCCCUCCGGUUCGUUUGUCAGAAAAUGCGAAACACCGGGGAUAAUUUCCCGGAUGUUUCCCCCCUUCACCGGUACCACCUCGUACCGCGUUAGGGCACACCUAGCAUCACGCUUUGUCAUGUCAUGCAUCGUCAUGCAUUUGUUUGCAUUAUAUUUAUUGUUUCUUCCCCCUCUUCUCUCGCUAGACACCAAGACCGACGCCGCUACUACCCAGUACGACUACGGUGUUGACGACCACUCUCUCUUGCCAGAGCAACCAGGCAAGCCCCCCCUUUGAUCACCAGAUAUCGCCUACUCUUUUCUUUACUGCUUGCAUUAGAGUAGUGUAGCAUGUUACUGCUUUCCGUUAAUCCUAUUCUGAUGCAUAGCCUGUCCUUGCUACUAUUGUUGUUACCUUUACCUGCAAUCCUAAUGCUUAGUAUAGGAUGCUAGAUUAUCAUCAGUGGCCAUACAUUCUUGUCCGUCUGCCAUGCUAUACUACUGGGCCGUGAUCACUUCGGGAGGUGAUCAUGGGCAUUUACAAUAUACUUUACACACUUACAUUACCUGUGAUACUGUUCGGAGAUGGGGGCUGAAGGGGCAGGUGGCUCCAUCCCGGUAGAGGUGGGCCUGGGUUCCCGACGGCCCCCGACUGUUACUUUGUGGCGGAGCGACAGGGCAGGUUGAGACCACCUAGGAGAGAGGUGGGUCUGGCCCUGGUCGGCGUUCGCAGAUACUUAACACGUUUAACGAGAUCUUGGUAUUUGAUCUGAGUCUAGCUACUGGCCUAUACACACUAACCAUCUACGCGGGGACAGUUAUGGGCACUCGACGUCGUGGUAUCAGCCGAAGCCUUCAUGACGUCAGCGACUGAGUGGCGCGCGCCGGAUUGGACCGUAAGCCUGCUCUUGUAUUAAGGGGGCUAGUUCUGCUUCCGGCCGCGUACGCAACGUGCAGGUGUGCAAUGGGCGAUGGGCCCAGACCCCUGCGCCAUAGGAUUUAGACCGGUGUGCUGACCUCUCUGUUGUGCCUAGGUAGGGCUGCGACGUGUUGAUCUUCCGAGGCCGGGCAUGACCCAGGAAAGUGUGUCCGGCCAAAUGGGAUCGAGCGUGUUGGGAUAUGUGGUGCACCCCUGCAGGGAAGUUAAUCUAUUCGAAUAGCCGUGAUCUUCGGUAACAAGACGACUUGGAGUUGUACCUUGACCUUAUGACAACUAGAAGUGGAUACUUAAUAAAACACACCCUUCCAAGUGCCAGAUACAACCGGUGAUCGCUCUCUCACAGGGCGACGAGGGGAGGAUCAUCGGUUAGGGUUAUGCUAUGCGAUGUUACUUGGAGGACUUCAGUCUACUCUCUUCUACAUGCUGCAAGACGGAGGCUGCCAGAAGCGUAGUCUUCGACAGGAUUAGCUAUCCCCCUCUUUUUCUAGCAUUCUGCAGUUCAGUCCACCGAUAUGGCCUUUACACAUAUACCCAUGCAUAUGUAGUGUAGCUCCUUGCUUGCGAGUACUUUGGAUGAGUACUCACGGUUGCUUUCUCCCUCUUUUCCCCCUAUCCCUUCUACCUGGUUGUCGCAACCAGAUGUUGGAGCCCAGGAUCCAGACGCCACCGUCGAUGAUGACUCCUACUACACCGGAGGUGCCUACUACUACGUGCUGCCCGCUGACGACGACCAGGAGUAGUUAGGAGGAUCCAGGCAGGAGGCCUGCGCCUCCUUCGAUCUGUAUCCCAGUUUGUGCUAGCCUUCUUAAGGCAAACUUGUUUAACUUAUGUCUGUACUCAGAUAUUGUUGCUUCCGCUGACUCGUCUAUGAUCGAGCUCUUGUAUUCGAGCCUUCGAGGCCCCUGGCUUGUAAUAUGAUGCUUGUAUGACUUUUUUUGUAGAGUUGUGUUGUGAUAUCUUCCCGUGAGUCCCUGAUCUUGAUCGUACAUGUUUGCGUGUAUGAUUAGUGUACGGUCAAAUCGGGGGAGUCACAAGCGGCCAGCGGGGCCAAGGACCAUCGGGGAGGGGAGGGUUUUCUCAUUUCCUUUUCUUUUUGUUAGUUUUCAUUUUUUUUUCUUUUUCUGUUUUUUUCAGUUUCUUUUUCAUCUAAUUUUUUAUCUAAUAUUAAAAUGAUCCCUAAUUUAGUAAUACAUUAAAACCCACUACAACAAAAGGUUUUACCCCAAAGCAAUUUAGUUUAGUAUUUUGUUAAUUAUAAAAGCAUUUAUAUAUUGGUUUUUGCUACUGUUUUAUUCAUCUAAGGGUAUUUAAACAUUUUAUAAAAAUGGAGUUUCUUAACCAUAAUUACCUAUGCAUUAUUUGGCAUGUCUAGAGCAUUUUAGUUUUAAUGUUUGGAAAUUUUUAUCGUUUGACUUUAUUUAUUUAUUUUAAAUUGAACUGGGUUUCGAACUAACGCGAGAUUAGCAACAGUAAUCAUGAUGAUGUGGCAUCAUUACCAGAGGUUACUGUCGCUUGAUUAUUCGGGCGUCACAAUUCUCCUCCACUACAAGAAAUCUCGUCCCGAGAUUUAAGAGGUAGAGUAAGGGGGAAAGAUCUGGUUACGAAAUUCUAAUGGAUCUUCUCGAAGAAGUCAAUUCUUUAUUCCAAUGCAUCAUGAUAAACUUGUCAUCAUUUCUUCGGGAACUCUAUCGUACUUACGAAAGGUUAAGGGGCAGCUCAGCCACGUCAGAAUGCUUUUGAGGGAAAUAAUCUGGGGUUAACCCAUGAAUGAGUAUAAGAUUAUCUUUCGAGUUAAACUUAUGAAAUACAUCGAGAGUAAGGUACGAAGGUACAAUAAGAGGUUCCAAGCGGAUAGAUAGUUGCUCGAAGUCUGAACCAGAGUGAGAAAGGGGUUCAGAGUAGCGAGAGUAAGUAUUGCGUCUGAUACCAGAAUAGAGCAUUAGGAAGGUGGCCCAUGAAUUAACUACGAAGCCAAACAUGGAGAAUAACCAUUAGAAACAGGGUUGUACAUGAGAGUCAGGUUUCGAUCCUGGGACCUGUGGGUUAUGGGCCCUCCAUGUGGGUUAAGAAAUAGGGAGGGUGAUGUCCUCUUGCAUGGUCAUGAUAGCAUGGCAUGCCAGAAAUUAGUCUGUCAGUUAUGUCGCCAACAAUGUUGGUACCGAGGGCGAGGGACGAAGAGAACCAUUUUCCUGCUCGUUAAGACGAGGCGUACCAAUAGGCAAAGUUCUCGUCCAUCGGUGGUUACCGGAAUGUCAUCAACAUUAGUAACAAGGUUGUACUGACUGAAUUGUACCUCGAGGUGUUUUUAUAUAUAUAUAAGCAGGGAAUUAUUUCUGCUUAUAUCAUAUAUAUCAAAAGAAAGAUUGACAAACCAAUGGAAAGGAAAAUAUCUUUAUACACAAGAUUUAGGAGUGUAACUUUUCCCAAGGAAAAGUAGAGCAUGGUGUACAUGUUAGAUCAACAAGUACAUCACCAUUUGGAUAGAGGGGCAAGGGAAUUCAUGAUGUUAUCCAUACAAUGGUGUUUGGAUAAUAGAUCAAGAAACAUUUGGCAAUGCACUUCCAAUGUUCUUGUUGACAAACGGAGUACCACAGUUGUGCUUCAGGAUAGCAUUGACAUGGUCAUCAGGUAAAGGUCAUUCUUUGGAUACUCAAGGGAUCCAUCACAAAUUUUUAGAACAUCUCAUGCAAUUUUACCAGGAAAAAGAUGAGGAUGUGGCCGAUGGGUUCAGCAGCAAUCCAUCGACAUGUCAAAAAUGAUGUAUUUCCAAAAUUGUAUGAACUAGUUUGUGUUGGGGGGAGGCAAGAAUGUUUUCGAUGAUAACAUAAAUCAUCAAGGGGCAAGGGUGGUAUUUCUCAUCAUGAAUUUAAUUAAUAUCCUGGAAGAGCUCAGGAUGUUGAUGAUGAUCACGAUACAUUUGUCGAGAAAUUUCAUGAAGAUGUAAUCGAUCGGCGAUGACAUCAAGUCAAAGGAAUGAUGAAGCAAAAGGUUAUUGGAACCACAGGUACGGCACAAACUCGAAAACAAGCUUGUUGUUCAAGGAGAAAUGAUAUGAUGAGGAAGAGCGACACAUGCUUGGCUCAUCAUCGAAAAUUGUGCACCGGGGAGAAGAACCAGGUAGCUCAAUUAAAAUUUGGCAUGAUAAUGAUAUAGCCAACCUGGCUAGGAUUGACUAGAAGGAUUAUUAAACUCGUAAGCAACGAAAAUUACUUAGAGUUAUUGGAUCAGAGUGCGGAAUCGAUUCACUUAUCGGUGUUCUCAGUUUGACAAACAACCCAGAACCCUUGAAGCGACAAAGACAGGGUUAAGGUAGUACUCCAUCAAAAAGUUCAUAAAAUGUAGUGCAAUGACAUGAUAUCCUCGAGGUACCAGGGGUAAUACUCGAAGGUAGAUCAUAAUAGAGGUUGGGGAGAUGUAUUGAUCCACAGAAGACAAGUGCUUAAACUUGCGCGAGAAAUGGGAUCAAAGAAGAACAUACAGUCGAAUGUAUAGUUGCAAGGGAUCCAAUUUAAUGACACCGAAAGAGUUACAAAAAUGAUUAAAUAUUUUGCAAGAAGCUUCCAUGAUAAGUUCCACAUCGGGUCCAUGGGCAUGAACACAAAGUUCAAGGUCGACUCCCACUUCUCCAAUGCAUAACCUUUCAUUUACAUCUCGCGUUCGAUGAAGUUGUAGUGUUGAAAUUUUAUCUGGCAAAAUACCAGAAGAGUAUGACUCGUGAAAACUUUCUAGUUCACACAAAUUAAGGAAGGCAUAGGUUCGAGCCAUCGGGGCUUCUUAGAACAUAUACCAUGAACUUCAGGAGUAAUUAACACAAGCUCGGAAAUAGAGCAUGAUUGACAAAAGGAGAGGAUACAAUUUACCAAAGGCAUUAUGUAUCGGAGAAAGAACUCACAAGGUGAUUAAUUAUGAAGGACAUUGUCGGAUAAUAAUCAAACAGUGGAUAUGGCGAUCCACAAUGGAGCUGAUGUGAGUAUCGAUACCCAAUCAGAGGAAGAAAGAAUGCAAAUGCAUUCGUUUAUAGAACAUUUGAAUAAUUCAACGUUUAAAUAACAAAGGAAUUAUGAUUUCCAAAUCAAUGGAUUAGAAGCAAACGCUCUAGUUAAGGAUGGAUAAGUUGAGUAAGCAUAGGGGUACAAUCGACGGCAAUUGGAUUGAUUGAGAACUAGCUCAUGUUUAAAAUGACGUCUGAGCUGGAAAGAUAAUUUAAAAGGAUCAACUGAUGAUUGCGUGCAUUUGCACUCAUGUUGAAUCAGAAGGAUCAAAACUAUGGUGCCUAAGGAUACUAACGAAUAUUGCCAGACAUAUGGAAAGCAUCCAUCAUGGUAAGCAGACAAGUAUUGCAGAGCAAUAAGCUAAUAAGGAUUUUUGGAGGAUCGGAUAGUAUUUCGAAGACCAUUGUGAAACACAUGGACAACUGGGGGAUGAGCGGAUACUCCAUAAGUGCGAGAAUUAUCCGUAGGGGUAUUCAGGUGACAAAGAACAGCAAGGCAGUGAGCUCAAAGGAUUAUCGAAACAACGACGAGUAUUUCGGGGUAUCUUGUAAUAACAAGACCAACUGGGGGUGAAUGUAAGAAUAACAACUGCAAGUAGUUAUCCAUAAUGGUUGACGGUGGAAGGGGAAUUGUAAACGCGAUGAACACAAGUUCUCGGGUUAACAGCGGAGAGUAUCUUCAGGGUCUCCACGUGUAGUAGACGAUCAUCAGUAAUAAGGGGCUCUCCGGGUGAAAGCGAUAACGAGAUCCUAAUGUUAGAUUUAGCAAAAUUCAUUUAACCCGAAUAGAAGAGAGAUCAGAGCCCCAGAGUAAAGGUCGAGGAGUAAAAGAUCCUAGUACCACCCGAUGGCGACGUGGGCCCGUAAGACACACAGCCAUGUUAGUAAAAGUUUUUGCAAUGUCUAGACUCAACUUCGGCCAAGGAGUGUGGAAGGGGGAGUCCUACAGGCAGUCGGCUCUGAUACCAACUUGUGACGCCCCCGAUUCAAUCGUACACUAAUCAUACACGCAAACGUGUACGAUCAAGAUCAGGGACUCACGUGAAGAUAUCACAACACUACUCUACAAAUAAAAUAAGUCAUACAAGCAUCAUAUUACAAGCCAGGGGCCUCGAGGGCUCGAAUACAAGAGCUCGAUCAUAGACGAGUCAACGGAAGCAACAAUAUCUGAGUACAGACAUAAGUUAAACAAGUUUGCCUUAAGAAGGCUAGCACAAACUGGGAUACAGAUCGAAAGAGGUGCAGGCCUCCUGCCUGGGAUCCUCCUAACUACUCCUGGUCGCCGUCAGCGGGCUGCACGUAGUAGUAGGCACCUCUGGUGUAGUAGGAGUCGUCGUCAAAGGUGGCGUCUGGCUCCUGGGCUCCAACAUCUGGUUGCGACAACCAGGUAGAAGGGAUAGGGGGAAAAGAGGGAGAAAGCAACCAUGAGUACUCAUCCAAAGUACUCGCAAGCAAGGAGCUACACUACAUAUGUAUGCAUCGGUAUCAACUGGAAUAAGGCUAUUAUAUGUGGACUGAACUGCAGAAAGCCGGGAUAAGGAGGGAUAGCUAGUCCUUUUGAAGACUACGCUUCUGGCAGCCUCGUCUUGCAGCAUGUAGAAGAGAGUAGACUGAAGACCUCCAAGUAGCAUCGUAUAGCAUAAUCCUAACCGAUGAUCCUCCCCUCAUCGCCUGUGAGAGAGCGAUCACCGGUUGUAUAUGGCACUUGGAAGGGUGUGUUUUAUUAAGUAUCCGGUUCUAGUUGUCAUAAGGUCAAGGUACAACUCCAAGUCGUCCUGUUACCGAAGAUCACGGCUAUUCGAAUAGAUUAACUUCCCUGCAGGGGUGCACCACAUAACCCAACACGCUCGAUCCCAUUUGGCCGGACACACUUUCCUGGGUCAUGCCCGGCCUCGGAAGAUCAACACGUCGCAACCCUACCUAGGCACAACAGAGAGGUCAGCACGCCGGUCUAAAUCCUAUGGCGCAGGGGUCUGGGCCCAUCGCCCUUUGCACACCUGCACGUUGCGAACGCGGCUGGAAGCAGAACUAGCCCCCUUAAUACAAGAGCAGGCUUACGGUCCAAUCCGGCGCGCGCCACUCAGUCGCUGACGUCACGAAGGCUUCGGCUGAUACCACGACGUCGAGUGCCCAUAAUUGUCCCCGCGUAGAUGGUUAGUGCGUAUAGGCCAAUAGCCAGACUCAGAUCAAAUACCAUGAUCUCGUUAAAUGUGUUAAGUAUCCGCGAACACCGACCAGGGCCAGGCCCACCUCUCUCCUAGGUGGUCACAACCCGCCCUGUCGCUUCGCCACAAAGAUCCACACAGAGGGUCGUUGGGACAAAGGUCCUUUCAGCCCCCAAUCCGUGAAUCACUCGCGGGUGCUCCACAAGCCGACCCGACUUUAGUCACCACAUGUAUCAUGUAUAAAGUAUAUAGUAUAUACCCGUGAUCACCUCCCGAGUGAUCACGGCCCGAUAAUAUAACAUGGCAGACGGACAAGAAUGUAUGGCCACUGAUGAUAAUCUAGCAUCCUAUACUAAGCAUUAGGAUUGCAGGUAAAGGUAUCAACAGUAGUAGCAAGGACAGGCUAUGCAUCAGAAUAGGAUUAACGGAAAGCAGUAACAUGCUACACUACUCUAAUGCAAGCAGUAGAGAAAGAGUAGGCGAUAUCUAGUGAUCAAAAGGGGGGGCUUGCCUGGUUGCUCUGGCAAGAGAGAGGGGUCGUCAACACUGUAGUCGUACUGGGUAGCAGCGGCGUCGGUCUCGAUGUCUAGCGAGAGAAGAGGGGGAAGAAACAAUAAAUAUAAUGCAAACAGAAGCAUGACGAUGCAUGACGUGACAAAGCGUGAUGCUAGGUGUGCCCUAACGCGGUAUGAGGUGAUGCCAGUGAAGGGGGGAAACAUCCGGGAAAGUAUCCCCCGUGUUUCGUGUUUUCGGGCAGACGAGCCGGAGGGGGAAAGUUGCGAGUUCGAUAGGUUAGGGAUGCGUGACGGAUGAACGGGCUGCGUUUCCGGAUUCGUCUCGUCGUUCUGAGCAACUUUCAUGUACAAAGUUUUUUCAUCCGAGCUACAAUUUAUUUUAUAUUAAUUAUUAAAGAUUUAAAUCAUUUUUAGUACUAACAGAAUUAAUUAAUUUAGGAAAUACAAUUAUGACGCCAGCAUGAUGUCAGCAUGAUGUCAGCGGUCAACUCUGACCGUUGACCAGUCAACUGGUGGGUGGGGCCCGUCGGUCAUUGACUGUUAUCUCAUUAUCAGAAUUAAUUAGCCUAAUUAGGUUUAGGUUAACUAAACAGAAUUAAUUAAGUUAAUUAAUUAUCCUAAUUAAUUAGUUAUUAUAAUUUUCUAAUUCCUCUUUUUUUAAAGGGGCAUGGGGCCCAUAUGUCAUAGGCUCAUAGUAAUUAAAUAGGGCUAAUUAGCUUUAACUAAAUGAUUAGGUUAAUCUAAUCCGAUUUAAUUAAUUCUCUAAUUAAUUAAUUAACAUUUUAAUUAUCAUAUUUAUUAUUUAUUUUUCUUUUUUUUGUUAAAAACGUUCUGGUCGUGGGGCCCCCCUGUCAUAGGCAUAGGGGGCCUUAACGGGUUUUGGGCGCCGAGGCAACGGUUGUCGCCCGAAUGGGCGCAGUUGCGGGGCACCGGGUCGCCUGGACCCGGGCGCUGCCUUGCCGGCAGCCAUGGCGGGGCACGACACCGGCCAUGGAAGGGAGCGGGCCGCGGUGGAUGCGGCGGUAGGGGGUGGUAGCUGGGCCAAGGACGCGGCCGGCAGCCACGGCGAGCGGAGGCGGGCGCUAGAAGCGGUAGGGUGAAGGCGGAGAUGGCCGCGGGGUGAGGCGCGAGCGGGCGCGGGCUCGCGCGCGCGUGGCGCGUAGGCGCGGCGAGGCCGGGAGCACGACGACAGAAGUACGAGGCAGCACCGACGCGGACGACCUAGGGAAAGGGGUAGGGGAGAUGGGGUCAUACCCCCGGUGCAGGGGUUCAGUCGGCAAAGUUCGGGGCGGCCGGCGUGGAUCGAGGCGAGGCAUGUGGCGGCCGUCGUCGAAGAAGAUCGUCGAGGGAGCCAUCGUUGGGGCGUCCUAGCUCGCGUGCGCCAGUGUAGACGACGAAGACGACGAGGCAGACCUCACAGAUGCGAGGGGUUGCUGAUUCGGUGGUGUUGGUCGCGGUGGUUUGCGGCGGUUCCUCGCGCGCGGGCAUGCCGGCGAGGUGGGCUCCGGCNNNNNNNNNNNNNNNNNNNNNNNNNNNNNNNNNNNNNNNNNNNNNNNNNNNNNNNNNNNNNNNNNNNNNNNNNNNNNNNNNNNNNNNNNNNNNNNNNNNNNNNNNNNNNNNNNNNNNNNNNNNNNNNNNNNNNNNNNNNNNNNNNNNNNNNNNNNNNNNNNNNNNNNNNNNNNNNNNNNNNNNNNNNNNNNNNNNNNNNNNNNNNGGUUCCGAUCUGGAUCGGUGGGGGGAAGUGGGGGCGGUGGUUGCCCUAGGGUUCGAUCGGGUUGGGGGAUAAGGGAGGGCAGCCUAGGCCAGGUGACUGGCAUGAUGGGGAGCGGCCAGCUGGGCCAAGGCCCAUCGGGGAGGGGAGGGUUUUCUCAUUUCCUUUUCUUUUUGUUAGUUUUCAUUUUUUUUUCUUUUUCUGUUUUUUUCCAGUUUCUUUUUCAUCUAGUUUUUUAUCUAAUAUUAAAAUGAUCCCUAAUUUACUAAUACAUUAAAACCCACUACAACAAAAGGUUUUACCCCAAAGCAAUUUAGUUUAGUAUUUUGUUAAUUAUAAAAGCAUUUAUAUAUUGGUUUUUGCUACUGUUUUAUUCACCUAAGGGUAUUUAAACAUUUUAUAAAAAUGGAGUUUCUUAACCAUAAUUACCUAUGCAUUAUUUGGCACGUCUAGAGCAUUUUAGUUUUAAUGUUUGGAAAUUUUUAUCGUUUGACUUUAUUUUUUUAAAUUGAACUGGGUUUCGAACUAACGCGAGAUUAGCAACAGUAAUCAUGAUGGCGUGGCAUCAUUACCAGAGGUUACUGUCGCUUGAUUAUCCGGGCGUCACAGAUUCCUUUGCCAAGGCAAUUGCACCACUGUUGUCACAAAAGAUUUUCUUUGGACACGAUGCACUAGGUAUGACACCUAGAUCAGAUAUGAACUCCUUCAUCCAGACUCCUUCAUUUGCUGCUUACGAAGCAGCUAUGUACUCCGCUUCACACGUAGAUCCCGCCACGACACUCUGCUUGGAACUACACCAACUGACGGCUCCACCAUUUAAUAAAAAUACGUAUCCGGUUUGUGACUUAGAGUCAUCUGGAUCAGUUUCAAAGCUUGCAUCAACGUAGCCGUUUACGACGAGCUCUUUGUCACCUCCAUAAACGAGAAACAUAUCCUUAGUCCUUUUUAGGUAUUUCAGGAUGUUCUUGGCCGCUGUCUAGUGAUCCACUCCUGGAUUACUUUGGUACCUCCCUGCUAAACUAAUAGCAAGGCACACAUCAGGUCUGGUACACAUCAUUGCAUACAUGAUAGAACCUAUGGCUGGAGCAUAGGGAAUGGCUUUCAUUUUCUCUCUAUCUUCUGUAGUGGUCGGGCAUUGAGUCUGACUCAACUUCACACUUUGUAACACAGGCAAGAACCCUUUCUUUGCCUGAUCCAUUUUGAACUUCUUCAAAACUUUAUCAAGGUAUGUGCUUUGUGAAAGUCCGAUUAAGUGUCUUGAUCUAUCUCUAUAGAUCUUGAUGCCCAAUAUAUAAGCAGCUUCACCGAGGUCUUUCAUUGAAAAAAUCUUAUUCAAGUAUCCUAUUAUGCUAUUCAGAAAUUCAGUAUCAUUUUCGAUCAACAAUAUGUCAUCUACAUAUAAUAUCAGAAAUGCUACAGAGCUCCCACUCACUUUCUUGUAAAUACAUGCUUCUCCAAAAGUCUAUAUAAAGCCAUAUGCUUUUAUCACACUAUCGAAGUGUAUAUUCCAACUCCGAGAGGCUUGCACCAGUCCAUAAAUGGAUCACUAGAGCUUGCACACUUUGUUAGCACCUUUUGGAUCGACAAAACCUUCUGGUUGCAUCAUAUAUAACUCUUCUUUAAGAUAUCCAUUAAGGAUGCAAUUUUGACAUCCAUUUCCCAAAUUUCAUAAUCAUAAAAUGCGGCAAUUGCUAACAUGAUUUAGACGGACUUAAGCAUCGCUACGGGUGAGAAGGUCUCAUCGUAGUCAACUCCUUAAACUUGUCGAAAACCUUUUGCAACAAGUCGAGCUUUGUAGACAGUAACAUUACCGUCAGCGUCAGUCUUCUUCUUGAAGAUCCAUUUAUUCUCUAUAGCCUGCCGAUCAUCGGGCAAGUCAACCAAAGUCCACACUUUGUUCUCAUACAUGGAUCCCAUCUCAGAUUUCAUGGCCUCAAUCCAUUUUGCGGAAUCUGGGCUCAUCAUCGCUUCCUCAUAGUUCGUAGGUUCGUCAUGGUCAAGCAACAUGACCUCCAGAACAGGAUUAUCGUACCACUCUAGUGCGGAUCUUACUCUGGUUGACCUACGAGGUUCGGUAGUAACUUGAUCAGAAGUUUCAUGAUCAUCAUCAUUAGCUUCCUCACUUACUGGUGUAGGAAUCACUGGAACUGAUUCUAGUGAUGAACUACUUUCCAAUAAGGGAGCAGGUACAAUUACCUCAUCAAGUUCUACUUUCCUCCCACUCACUUCUUUCGAGAGAAACUCCUUCUCUAGAAAGGAUCCAUUCUUAGCAAUGAAUAACUUGCCUUCGGAUCUGUGAUAGAAUAUGUACCCAACAGUCUCCUUUGGGUAUCCUAUGAAGACACAUUUCUCUGAUUUGGGUUCGAGCUUACCAGGUUGAAGCUUUUUCACAUAAGCAUUGCAGCCCCAAACUUUAAGAAAUGACAACUUGGGUUUCUUGCCAAACCACAGUUCAUAAGGUGUCAUCUCAACGGAUUUUGAUGGUGCCCUAUUUAACGUGAAUGCAGCCGUCUCUAAAGCAUAACCCCAAAACGAUAGCGGUAAAACAGUGAGAGACAUCAUAGAUCGCACCAUAUCUAGUAAAGUACAAUUACGAUGUUCGGACACACCAUUACGUUCUGGUGUUCCGGAUGGCAUGAGUUGCGAAAUUAUUCCACAUUGUUUCAAAUGAAGACCAAACUCGUAACUCAAAUAUUCUCCUCCACGAUCAGAUCGUAGAAACUUUAUUUUCUUAUUACGAUGAUUUUCCACUUCACUCUGAAAUUCUUUGAACUUUUCAAAUGUUUUAGACUUAUGUUUCAUUAAGUAGAUAUACCCAUAUCUGCUCAAAUCAUCUGUGAAGGUGAGAAAAUAAUGAUAUCAGCCGCGAGCCUCAAUGUUCAUUAGACCACAUACAUCAGUAUGUAUGAUUUCCAAUAACUCUGUUGCUCGCUCCAUUGUUCCGGAGAAUGGAGUUUUAGUCAUCUUGCCCAUGAGGCAUGGUUCACAAGUACCAAGUGAUUCAUACUCAAGUGAUUCCAGAAGUCCAUCAGAAUGGAGUUUCUUCAUGUGCUUUACAUCAAUAUGACCCAAACGACAGUGCCACAAAUAAGUUGCACUAUCAUUAUCAACUCUGCAUCUUUUAGCUUCAAUACUAUGAAUAUGUGUAUCACUACUAUCAAGAUUUAGUAAAAAUAGACCACUCAUCAAGGGUGCAUGACCAUAAAAGAUAUUACUCAUAUAAAUAGAACAACCAUUAUUCUCUGAUUUAAAUGAAUAACCGUCUCGCAUCAAAUAAGAUCCAGAUAUAAUGUUCAUGCUCAACGCUGGCACAAAAUAACAAUUAUUUAGGUCUAAAACUAAUCCCGAAGGUAGAUGUAGAGGUAGCGUGCCAACGGUGAUCACAUCGACUUUGGAACCAUUUGCCACGCGCAUUGUCACCUCAUCCUUAACCAAUCUUCGCUUAAUCAGUAGCCCCUAUUUCGAGUUGCAAAUGUUAGCAACUGAACCAGUAUCAAAUACCCAGGCACUAUUGCGAGCAUUAGUAAAGUACACAUCAAUAACAUGUAUAUCAAAUAUUCCUUUCACUUUGCCAUCCUUCUUCUCCACCAAAUACUUGGGGCAGUUCCGCUUCCAGUGACCAGUCCCUUUGCAGUAGAAGCACUCAGUUUUAGGCUUAGGUCCAGACUUGGGUUUCUUCACUUGAGCAGCAACUAGCUUGCUGUUCUUCUUAAAGUUCCCCUUCUUACUUUACCCUUUUUCUUGAAACUGGUGGUCUUGUUGACCAUCAACACUUGAUGCCCCUUCUUGAUUUCUACCUCCAUAGCCUUUAGCAUCGCGAAGAGCUCAGGAAUCGUCUUAUCCAUCCCUUGCAUAUUAUAGUUCAUCACGAAGCUCUUGUAUCUUGGUGGCAGUGAUUGAAGAACUCUAUCAAUGACACUAUCAUCAGGAAGAUUAACUCCCAGCUGAGUCAAGUGGUUGUGGUACCCUGACAUUCUGAGUAUAUGUUCACUGACAGAACUAUUCUCCUCCAUUUUGCAGGUGUACAACUUAUUGGAGACUUCAUAUCUCUCAAUCCGGGCAUUUGCUUGAAAUAUUAACUUCAACUCCUGGAACAUCUCAUAUGCUCCAUGACGUUCAAAAUGUCGUUGAAGUCACGGUUCUAAGCCGUAAAGCAUGGCACACUGAACUAUCGAGUAGUCAUCAACUUUGCUCUGCCAGGUGUUCACAACAUCUGGCGUUGCUCCUGCAGCGGGUUUGUCACCUAGCGGUGCUUCCAGGAUGUAAUUCUUCUGUGCAGCAAUGAAAAUAAUCCUCAAGUUACGGACCUAGUCCGUGUAGUUGCUACCAUCAUCUUUCAACUUAGCUUUCUCUAGGAACGCAUUAAAAUUCAACGGAACAACAGCACGGGCCAUCUAUCUACAACAACAUAGACAUGCAAAAUACUAUCAGGUACUAAGUUCAUGAUAAAUUAAAAGUUCAAUUAAUCAAAUUACUUAAGAACUCCCACUUAGAUAGACAUCUCUCUAAUCAUCUAAGUGAUCACGUGAUCCAUAUCAACUAAACCAUGUCCAAUCAUCACGUGACAUGGAGUAGUUUUCAAUGGUGAACAUCACUAUGUUGAUCAUAUCUAUUAUAUGAUUCACGCUCGACCUUUCGGUAUCAGUGUUCCGAGGCCAUAUCUGCAUAUGCUAGGCUCGUCAAGUUUAACCCGAGUAUUCCGCGUGUGCAAAACCGGCUUGCACCCGUUGUAUGUGAACGUAGAGCUUAUCACACCCGAUCAUCACGUGGUGUCUCGGCACGACGAACUGUAGCAAUGGUGCAUACUCAGGGAGAACACUUGUACCUUGAAAUUUAGCGAGAGAUCAUCUUAUAAUGCUACCGUCGAACUAAGCAAAAUAAGAUGCAUAAAGGAUAAACAUCACAUGCAAUUCAAUAUAAGUGAUAUGAUAUGGCCAUCAUCAUCUUGUGCCUUUGAUCUCCAUCUCCAAAGCACCGUCAUGAUCACCAUCGUCACCGGCUUGACACUUUGAUCUCCAUCGAAGCAUCAUUGUCGUCUUGCCAACUAUUGCUUCUACGACUAUCGCUACCGCUUAGUGAUAAAGUAAAGCAAUUACAUGGCGAUUGCAUUUCAUACAAUAAAGCAACAACCAUAUGGCUCCUGCCAGUUGCCGAUAACUGUGUUACAAAACAUGAUCAUCUCAUACAAUAAAAUUAAGCAUCAUGUGUUGACCAUAUCACAGCACAACAUGCCCUGCAAAAAUAAGUUAGACGUCCUCUACUUUGUUGUUGCAAGUUUUACGUGGCUGCUACGGGCUGAGCAAGAACCAUUCUUACCUACGCAUCAAAAACCACAAUGUGCUAUAGUGAUUGCUACUUGAUUUUCAGAAAGAACCCUGUUCAUUGAAUCCGAUUCAACUAAAGUUGGAGAAACUGACACCCACCAGCCACCUGUGUGCGAAACACGUUGGUAGAACCAGUCUCGCGUAAGCGUACGCGUAAUGUUGGUCUGAGCCGCUUCAUCCAACAAUACCGCUGAAUCAAGAAUCAACUAGUGACGGCAAGCAAUAUGUAUAUACCCACGCCCACAACUCCUUUGUGUUCUACUCGUGCAUAUAACAUCUACGCAUAGACCUGGCUCGGAUGCCACUGUUGGGGAACGUAGUAAUUUCAAAAAAAUUCCUACGCACACGCAAGAUCUAUCAUGGUGAUGCAUAGCAACAAGAAGGGAAGAGUGUUGUCCACAUACCCUCGUAGACCGUAAGCGGAAGCAUUAUAACAACGCGGUUGAUGUAGUCGUACGUUUUCACGAUCCGACCGAUCCUAGUACCGAAAGUACGACACCUCCGCGAUCUGCACAUGUUUGGCUCGGUGACGUCCCAUGAACUCUCGAUCCAGUUGAGUGUCGAGGGAGAGCUUCAUCAGCACGACGACAUGAUGAUGGUGAUGGUGAAGCUACUGGCGUAGGGCUUCGCCUAAGCACUACGACGAUAUGACUGGGGUGGAUUAUGGUGGAGGGGGGCACCGCACACGGCUAAGGGAUCAAUGAUCAACUUGUGUGUCUUAGGGUGCCCCCUACCCCCGUAUAUAAAGGAGCAAGGGGGAGGCCGGCCGGCCCUUGGAGGCGCGCCAAGGAGGGGAGGAGUCCUCCUCCUAGUAGGAGUAGGACUCCCCCUUUCCUAGUCCAACUAGGAGGAGGAAGGGGGAAGGAAGGAGAGGGAGAGAAGAGAAGGAAAGGGGGGCGCCGCCCCCUUCCCUAGUCCAAUUCGAACUAGAUGGGGAGGGGCGCGUGGCCCUGCCUUGGCCGACCCUCUCUCUCUCUCCACUAAGGCCCAUGUUGGCCCAUCAGUCCCCCCGGGGGUUCCGAUAACCCCCGACACUCUAAUAAUUAUCCGAUGACCCCCGGAACUCAUCCGGUGUCCGAAUAUAGUCAUCCAAUAUAUCAAUCUUUAUGUCUCGACCAUUUCAAGACUCCUCAUCAUGUCCGUGAUCACAUCCGGGACUCUGAACUAUCUUCGGUACAUCAAAACACAUAAACUCAUAAUUCCGAUCGUCACCGAACGUUAAGCGUGCGGACCCUAUGGGUUCGAAAACUAUGUAGACAUGACCGAGACACGUCUCCAGUCAAUAACCAAUAGCGGAACCUGGAUGUUCAUAUUGGCUCCCACAUAUUCUGCGAAGAUCUUUAUCGGUCAAACCGCAUAACGAUAUACGUUGUUCCCUUUGUCAUUGGUAUGUUACUUGCCCGAGAUUCGAUCGUCGGUAUCUCAAUACCUAGUUCAAUCUCGUUACCGACAAGUCUCUUUACUCGUUCCGUAAUGCACCAUCCCGUAACUAACUCAUUAGUCACAUUGCUUGCAAGGCUUAUAGUGAUGUGCAUUACCGAGAGGGCCCAGAGAUACCUCUCCGAUACUCGGAGUGACAAAUCCUAAUCUCGAUCUAUGCCAACUCAACAAACACCAUAGGAGACACAUGUAGAGCAUCUUUAUAGUCACCCAGUUACGUUGUGACGUUUGAUAGCACACUAAGUGUUUCUCCGGUAUUCGGGAGUUGCAUGAUCUCAUAGUCAUAGGAACAUGUAUAAGUUAGGCAAUAGCAACAAACUAAAUGAUCAUCGUGCUAAGCUAAAGGAUGGGUCAAGUCAAUCACAUUAUUCUCUAAUGAUGUGAUCCCGUUAAUCAAAUGACAACUCAUGUCUAUGGUUAGGAAACAUAACCAUCAUUGAUUCAACGAGCUAGUCAAGUAAAGGCAUGAUAGUGACACCCUGUUUGUCUAUGUAUUCACACAUGUACUAAGUUUCCGGUUAAUACAAUUCUAGCAUGAAUAACAAACAUUUAUCAUGAUAUAAGGAAAUAUAAAUAACAACUUUAUUAUUGCCUCUAGGGCAUAUUUCCUUCAAAACAGAAGUACGACAGUCCUUCAUACUGAAUAUCAUACAAGAUGGACUCCUUGGUCCUAGCCGAUUCGAGCUGCACCCACCUCAUUAGAGGCUCCUACACUCUAAUCCAAAUUCGUGCUCUAAGGGACUCUCCAAAAGCAAAGCCCUUUGAGUCCACAUCCAGCUUUAUUACCUCUCCAUCAUACCUGCAAUUCGCUCAGGCCAUGGCGGGUACCGGAGAUUGAAAGGCAGUUUGAUUACCUUAGCCCAAAUUUACAUGUUCUCAAACUUCCAAUCGGAUGGUCGGGCCCUGAAAUCAAACAGCUCCAAGAUCAACGCGUGCUUCCCAACCAUCCACGGCCCGCCUCCAAAGAUGCGAUCACGAUCACGUUGAUUCUCCAAGUUUGCAACAAAAGUGUUCUCCCCUACCGGGUUAAAAUUCAGUCCCUUCGGGUUCCCCCAAGCCGGUCGGAGGACUUUUGCAAUUGUGUUGACAUGGAUGAACUUGCGGUGCAGAACCCUCCCCACCAGAGCCAGUUGGGGUGUCGUUCCUUCCACCUCCUAAUCGUCUACUACUAGCUUCCUGCUCUCCUUAUCUGCCAGUUUCAUCUUCUCCAUCAUAUGCUCCACUUUCUCCCUCGACUUCCUCGAUUCCUCUGACGCCAUGUCGCCCCGUUCCACAACCCUAGAUGCUACCUCUCCUCGUGCUCCAAGGGUGGGUGGGGGUACCAGGACCCCCCCCCUUGAACACCCCGAGAGCAGCCGCGGAGAAGGCGCCGAUCAGGGAUCAGAUUCAGUGCGGAGGGCGCCCAGGAUGAUUGCGCGCGCGUGGGAGAUCGGAAUCGCCGCCGCCGCCUGUCCUGCCACUAAACCCUAGAAGACCGUUCGGGCUUCAUUCAAUUGGGAAUCGUAACUGUCAGCCCGUGUGAUUCGAACCCAUUUGAAGACCAAAAUUUUGUCGGUCGCAACUCUCCCAUGGCAUGUGGAGAGCACAGAUGACCAGGUUGACCACUUGACCAUAUACGUCCAUAAACUCCACACAUAAUGUCUAAAAAAUUCACCGUCUACAUGUGAGUUAUAAGGGAGCACCUUAAUGCCAGAAAUGUGUAUAAGUUUUUCUUGUUUCAAUCACUUUUCCCUAAGCCGCUAGAUGUUGAACGAACAACAAGAAAUAAGAAAUAGAUCAGGCACCGUUCAUCUUCUUCAACCUCACCUUCUUCUUUCUCCCAUGUAACUGCUGACCUACCCUGCCCCAUCCGCUUUGCCUACACCCUGUGGCCGGUGGGUCCUGCCGCACCGCCUAUACCUCCUCCACUAUAGUUGCUUGCCGCCACCGCGACCAUCCCUCUAUCAGCUAUUGUCGGCUCCGGCUCAUGCACGGCUCACCCUCGUCAUGAUUGGCGCUGGCUCUCCUCAUGUCAUCCCCGCCUUCAACUCGCGCGAAGUGGAAUCGACUGACGCAACAACAACAAAAAUCCAGGUACCCGGUGAUUAUCAAACGUGAAGUUAUAAUGAUGUUUGAUCAAUCAAUCAAUGUCUUAAGUCUUAACAUGCAAAUUCGGAAGACCAAGGCACAACCAAGGCACAAACAUGCAACUAGUUUUUGUUAGUUUGAACAUUGCUCUCGUUGAACCAAAUUCGGAAGACCAAAACUCUCCUGGGCGUGUGGAAAGCACAGGUGAGUGACGAACCCACACUCACAAAAUCCAUCGCGUGUUCAUGUGGACCACAUACACCCGUGGACUACACCCACAGCACAACGGUACCCCGUCCAGCCAUUCACCGUCUACCCGUGUACACCGCGUCCAUCCAGGAACCCCCCACACACCACACUGCACAAACUGCCACGCCCACGCGGCCUCCCCACCCCCACGAACCCCCCGUCUCACUGCCCGUGGGCCCAGCUCCCCCGACCCCACCCGUCAUAGAGACGGUCGGUGCGCGCAGCCUCCAUUUCGUCGAGACACCUCGCCCCCAUCUCCACCACCCACACCAGCCAAGGGGCACACGGUCUCCGCCCCCCCCCNNNNNNNNNNNNNNNNNNNNNNNNNNNNNNNNNNNNNNNNNNNNNNNNNNNNNNNNNNNNNNNNNNNNNNNNNNNNNNNNNNNNNNNNNNNNNNNNNNNNNNNNNNNNNNNNNNNNNNNNNNNNNNNNNNNNNNNNNNNNNNNNNNNNNNNNNNNNNNNNNNNNNNNNNNNNNNNNNNNNNNNNNNNNNNNNNNNNNNNNNNNNNNNNNNNNNNNNNNNNNNNNNNNNNNNNNNNNNNNNNNNNNNNNNNNNNNNNNNNNNNNNNNNNNNNNNNNNNNNNNNNNNNNNNNNNNNNNNNNNNNNNNNNNNNNNNNNNNNNNNNNNNNNNNNNNNNNNNNNNNNNNNNNNNNNNNNNNNNNNNNNNNNNNNNNNNNNNNNNNNNNNNNCGCGAUCCAAUCGCCUCGCCGUCGCCGCCGCCCGCCGCCGCCGACGCCAUGUCCUUCCUCGCGCGGGCGCUCCGCCACUCGAAGCCGUACCUGCCGUCGCGCGGCCCCGCGGCGGGCGUCUCCUGCCGCUGGAUCUCGUCGACGUCCGCCGCGGGCUCGCCCGAGGCCGGCGCGGCCGUGGCGCCCGCCGACCCGGAGCUGCCGCCGCCGCGGGAGCCCGUCGGGGGCGCCCGCGUCGAGCUGCCGCCCAACCCGGAGGACGCGCUCGAGGUGUUCGUCGACGGGCACGCCGUGCGGAUCCCCAAGGGCUUCUCCGUGCUCCAGGCCUGCGAGGUCGCCGGCGUCGACAUCCCGCGCUUCUGCUACCACAGCCGCCUCUCCAUCGCCGGCAACUGCCGCAUGUGCCUCGUCGAGGUCGAGAAGUCGCCCAAGCCCGUCGCCUCCUGCGCCAUGCCCGCCCUCCCAGGUCAGCCGUCCCCCCAUUUUGUUUCUUCUUUCAGCGUGUUAUAUUCGCAUCGGCCUCUCAGAUCCAUUCAGCUCCUAGACAAUCAGCGCCUUAGGGUCCUCACGCACAUUUCGUUUAAUCAGUAAUGGUUGUAGAGGCUAGAAAUAUCGACCUAGUUAAUUGUUGUUGGGGUACUGAAUGAUCGUCUAGUGUGUGUGAUUUCUUGUGAGAUUUGCGGGGGUUCCUGACCUUGGAGUGCCUUAUUUGUUGGAUUAGGGAUGAAGAUUAAGACAAACACACCAAUUGCCAAGAAGGCAAGGGAGGGUGUCAUGGAGUUCCUGUUGAUGAACCAUCCGCUGGAUUGCCCAAUCUGUGACCAGGGCGGGGAGUGCGACCUCCAGGAUCAGUCCAUGGCCUUUGGGGCUGACCGUGGUCGUUUCACCGACAUGAAGCGGUCGGUUGUGGAUAAGAAUUUGGGCCCCUUGGUGAAGACGGUGAUGACCCGUUGCAUCCAGUGCACAAGGUGAUGUUUUUGGUGCUUCUUGGUCAAUGUUUAUGAGUAUUCACUUUAAAUAAAUUCAUGCAUAUCCGGUUUCUCUAUGUUUUCACGACUGUAGGUGAUUCAUUUUUUCUAGUGGUGUAAGGUUAAGAGCUUAUUGUGAGAACUUGUUAACGUUAACAACUGUUGGAGCAGAGCAUUCCUUCUAAUUUAUUCAUGUGCUUCAGUAUGAACAAUUUACUGGUUCUUAGUUUGUGUUGCAUUAUUGUUGCAGUAACAAAUUAUCCUUUGGGGAAAAUAGUUUAGCUACUUGUGCAUAGUUUACCUUUACAUUCUGCUAGUAUGUAAUUUUCAAUUUUCUUUGAUCUUACAGGUGCGUCAGGUUUGCAUCUGAGGUUGCUGGUGUUCAGGACCUGGGUAUGUUAGGCCGUGGCAGUGGUGAAGAAAUCGGAACAUAUGUGGGGAAACUUAUGACAAGUGAACUAUCUGGAAACGUUAUUGAUAUCUGCCCCGUUGGAGCUCUUACAUCCAAGCCAUUUGCAUUUAAAGCUAGGAACUGGGAGAUGAAGGGCACUGAGACUAUUGAUGUUACUGAUGCAGUAGGGUCCAACAUACGUGUUGACAGCAGAGGUCCUGAAGUUAUGCGCAUUGUUCCUCGUCUCAAUGAGGUUUGCUUAUUCUCUGCUUCUUUGUAACUUUGCCUGUUUUGUACGGUCAUACUGCCUGAUACUUCAUGGUAAUAUUGCUAUAUUAAGUUAUUAACCAUGUUGUGAACCCCCAGAAGCCAUAACAUAUGCUAAGUCUGCCGUAAAAGGUUGCCCACCGUAUGAAGAAGGCUUGUAGGCACUAGGCACCACCCUCCUACCUUAAGUGCGACUGUCUAGCCCAUGUAAUCAGUAACUAGGUGCUAGGCGAUACCUCCUGCCCUUCUAGUGCCUAUGCUUUUGGGAACAUUAUAAAUGUUACAAUAUGGUCAUUACGGAAAUUUCUGUCAUGCUUUCUCAGAAUGGCAUCCAUAACUCUUGUCGAAAGAUUGUUCAAUGUUGUUAAAUGAACAUCCAAAUUACUGUGUGUGCUUAAAUUAUUAGGUUAACUGCUCCAUAUGCAUUAAACUGUUAUUUAACAGUUAAACCGUUGUAUUAUUACCAACUAAAAAGCACGGUUACGGGGACGGAAAGACGGGGAUGCGCAUACGGGGAUACGGCAUUUUUCAAAAACAGCCAUUCAGGGAUACGGCGAGUAUAUAUAAAAUAAAAUAAAAAUAUGCCAUGUAAUAUACAUUUAAGACAGAAAAUUAAUGAGAAAGAGAUGAGAAUAGAGAAUAGUGCCCCAUUUGGUGUCUCUUUUAUCAAGUGCUUGAUUGAUCCUCAUUCCCCCAUGUCAUGUCGUCAUUGCAAGCUGCAUCCAUCUUGCAAAACACAUCAAACACAAACAGUAAAGAAGGUUAGAAGAUUAAAAGACAAGACAUAAUUGGAAGACAAUACAAGCAUGAGCAGCAGCAGCACCAGCAUAAGCGGCAGCACAAGCAAGCAGCAAGCCAGCAAGCAACAUCCAGCAGCACAAGCAAAUCUGAAGAAUAAAAGAGGUUGAGGAAAGAGGAGAGGGGAGAGGCUGCUGGGUUACAUGCGAGGCUGCGGGUAGCGCCAGCGGUCGCCGGUCGAAUCCAGGCGUCGCCGGCGGCGGCGGCUUCGAUCUGGGAGGCUGGCGGCGCGUUCCAGUGUUACCUGGGAGGCUGGGAGGGAGCAGCUCGUCCUUGAGACGAGAGCGUGCGGGAGUUCCUGCAAAUAGGUUAGGUAUACUGGGUUGGGUCGAGGCUGUUUUGGGCCAGGCCGUGUCCCAAAUGUAUCCUGCACGUGUCCCGGCGUAUCCCUGUGUUUUUUCUCUUUUUUAAAAAAUAAAAAAUCGGGGGAUACUGCAAAGUUCGCGAAUCCUGGCGUAUCCUCGUAUCCCGCCGUAUCAGAACGGCAGUUCGGCACUUCCAGCCGUGUCUGUGCCUUUUAGAUUACCAAUGCUGCCUCUCCCAUACAGUGACAUGUUACCUUGGUAUAUUUUGUAAUAUUAGUAGCUUGACAGUGCUCCCAGGAUUUGUUCUUCUUGCAGAGUCAUAUUGUAACUGAAUGCAUUUGUCAUAGCGUAUCUUAUUUGCUUCCACUGUUUUUGAGUCGAAACUAGUCAUGACUAGUCGACGAGUCGUAACUGAAAGUCGACUCAAAUCAUUGGCUGAGUCGAGCGACUCGAUCGACUAGUCGCGACUAGUCCAGGUUUUGGAGUCGAACUUCUAAAAGCUGGCCCCGCCUGUCUAUUUUUUUUGCUUGCCCAAUCCCCCCGUGAAACCUAGAUCGAGACUAGUUUUCCCCUGAUCGAAACCUACCCUGCGACCCUCUCCCUUGCCCCUUGGCCGGCGGCGUCGCAAGCUGGUUGCUGCUGCUCCCCUGGUUGCUGGCUUGCUGUUGCUCAUCCCCUGUACCUAUUGCUUAACUCAUGUCAACUAGUCGACCAUGAGUCUAGAUUAUUCACGACUAGUCAAGAGUCGCUACCCCAGAACGACUCGUCGACUCCAAAACAUUGUUCCUGAUUCUGGACCUAAAAGAGAUGGUAGUAAAUGUUGGUGUACUGUGAGAAUAUAAUACAACAUAAUUUAAAGUGCUCUUUCAUACUUUUGUUAUGUAAUUUGCUUAAGGAAUGGCUAGUUGACUGAGCCUUCCAUCCUUAGCCUGCUAAUUUAUUUGCUAUGAACAUGAAAACCCAAUUGAGCAUAUUUUUAUCAUUGCAGGAUAUCAAUGAAGAAUGGAUAUCUGACAAAACACGGUUUUGUUAUGAUGGUUUGAAGAGGCAAAGACUAAAUGACCCUAUGAUUCGUGGUCCUGAUGGCAGGUUCAAGGCAGUGACAUGGCGUGAUGCUAUUGCGGUUGUUGCUGAGGUUUUGAAUCAAGUCAAGCCAGAAGAAAUUACUGGAGUCGCUGGCAAACUUUCUGAUGCAGAAUCCAUGAUGGCGCUGAAAGAUUUUAUUAAUAAAAUGGGUUCGGAUAAGGUGCUCUGUGAGGGGAAUGGCCCGAAUCCACCAGCAGAUAUUCGAUCAAACUACCUAAUGAAUACUAGCAUUGCUGGUCUUGAGAAAGCUGAUGUCUUCCUUUUGGUUGGCACACAGGUAAAACUCUGGUUUUCUUGCUCAUGAUCAUUUCUCAGUUGCUUUCCUUAUCUAACAAUAUGCUUAGUUUGGUGUUCUGGUAGUGUAUAAUCCUCUGUUCUUGGAUGUGCAACUGCUUGAAAGCAUCUUUUAGAGCCAUUGCGGCAAUAUCUUGCUAGAGUUUAUAAAAACAACCCCGUAAUAGAAAUAUUCCAUGACACAUCACAACAUAACAUGUUGAGCACAAAGUAACCUCUAAUUAUAUACCAUUGCUAGUGGUGUUUUUCUUUCCAAUAGCUAGUAGUAUACUAGUAAUAAUGCAGCUGAUGUUUCUAAAGAAUUGCGGUUACUUUCUUCAAGCGUAACGUAGCAAUGAACCACCAUUAAGUAGACGAAUUUAUUUGUGAAUAAUAUCCAACUUGUGAGACCAAGGGAAUUGAGAUGUGCUGUUUGUCCUUCAUAUCUUUUGUCACCCCUUCUUUUCGGUCAUCCAACUAUUCUGAGUAACAUUUUUUGUUUGCCUCCAUAAAACAGCCAAGGGUGGAAGCUGCUAUGGUGAACGCAAGGAUUCAGAAGACUGUUAGAGCAACACAAGCAAAGGUGGGCUACAUUGGUCCUCCAGCAGACUUCAACUAUGACACUUGGCAUCUUGGCACAGGGCCAGAUACCCUUGUCGAGAUCGCCGAGGGCCGACAUCCUUUCUGUUCAAUACUGAAGUCUGCAAAGAACCCAGUAAUCAUCGCUGGAGCUGGGUUAUUCGAACGAGAAGACCAAGGUGCUGUGUUCUCAACAAUUGAAACCGUAGCCAAGAAGUUCAAUGUGACGAGACCAGACUGGAACGGGCUUAAUGUCCUAUUGCUCCAUGCUGCACAGGCCGCAGCUCUUGAUCUGGGCCUCGUCGCUAAUCCUACCGAGAGCGUCAAGUCUGCAAAGUUCCUUUACCUGAUGGGAGCCGAUGAUGUGAACUUGGACAACCUUCCAGCGGAUGCAUUUGUUGUUUACCAGGGCCACCAUGGUGACAAGGCCGUGUACAGGGCCAAUGUUAUUCUGCCAUCUUCAGCAUUUAGUGAGAAAGAAGGCACUUACGAGAACACUGAGGGUUGCACCCAGUGGACCAUCCCAGCUGUGCCUACAGUUGGUGAUGCUAGGGAUGACUGGAAGAUCGUCCGUGCUCUUUCCGAGGUUGCCGGGGCGCCACUGCCCUACGACAGCGUCGCAGCUGUGAGGAGCCGGAUUAGUAUGGUGGCCCCAAAUCUUGUGCGCGUUGACGAGAGGGAGCCUUCGGUGAUCUCUGCCGAGGUGAAGCCUCCGGUGAAGCAGCAAGUGAGCCCGGCUCCAUUCAAAGCUGCCGUGGAGAACUUCUACAUGACCGACGCGAUCACACGGGCUUCCAAGAUCAUGGCUCAGUGCAGCGCAACCUUGAAGAAGUGAGGUCCUACUCUAUGUUACGCCCCCUUGAAGAAGUUAAAUCAUCGGCAUACGAGAUUUUAGUUGCUUUUUCCAUUUCACUCACCAGUUGUUGCUUGGGAGUAUAAAUUUGGACUGCCUCUACCCUAGCUAGAUCCGAGGAGCAGCGAAACUUGAAAGCAGUGCAUUUUUCUGUAACGUGUGAGAAGCGGAGCAUACUUAAUAAGCUUGUUUUGUCCUUUUGAAUUAGACGGCAGCCGCAAGCAAAUAAUUUUGUUGUAUUUGGGUUUUCGCCUGCUCGUUUCACGGUUCCAGGGUGCAGGCGAAUGUAGCUGUAUGUGCAAAUUAAGGUAUACCCC